RNAcentral lists this long non-coding RNA (69506 nucleotides) under Vitis vinifera (wine grape). Its description in RNAcentral is "long non-coding RNA (VVIN_LNC004409)". Lineage: Eukaryota; Viridiplantae; Streptophyta; Magnoliopsida; Vitales; Vitaceae. The record is from RNAcentral.
UGGUGAAGACCCGCUUCUGUCAAGGAUUGGAGCCUUCUGCACGACCAGAUUUCUAAUUUCUUGAGAGAGAUAAGGCGUUGAAGAACAGAUCCUGUCGAGAAUUGGAGCUCAGGGCAGUUCUCGAUCCAUAAUUCUCGAAGAGAGGUGAGUUGUUGAAGCCCCUUGUUGUCAAGAGACUUGAGAUUUGGAAGACCCCAGAUUGAAAGAUGAGUUAGAGAAGAGGGCAGCAGACACUCCUUGGGAAAUAAUUCCACGCCUUCACAUCCACCUCCGAUUGUGAAAUGAGUAAGAGAGGUCAGUCUUUGCAAAUCCCAGUCCACCUGUGACGUGAGUUGGUUGCAGCGCCAUAUUGCAAGUUCCCGUAGGUUGGAAGGCAAACCCUCCCUGUGCAACAACAAUUCUGGACAAUCCGCUAAACACAGUUUCUGCAGAGAUGAAUGGGUGUGCGCCAGCAAUUUGAGAUUGGAGCAAUUCCAAAUAUCAUGGUACAUCGAGUCAAGAGCAGGCAGUUGGAUGUAUACAAGAUUAAGGCACCGAUGGAUCUUCAAAUUACGAAGAGAUGUGGGAUCCCCCUCUGAAAUCGAGAUGCAGAGCUCCUCAAGCCCCUUAAGACCAUUUAUUUCGAAAUCAGUCAACCUGGGGAAGAUGUCCAAUACUGAGAAGGACAACAAGAGAGAAUCACAGGUACCGCCAUUGAUUGAUAGAUUUUCGAGAACCGGGUGAUGGCAUCUGAACAACUUAGGUAGAAGAAGGUCCAAUUUGGUACAAUCAGAGAUUGAUAACGAUUUCAAUGUAGUGGGUAAGCCAACUUUGUUUGGGGAUCUGUAAAAAGAGCAAUCACAAAUUUCCAAACUGUACAUGUUGGUUUGCAGGAUUUCCUCCUCUAGUAGAGACUCCACAUAAUCACAUUUUCUAAUGUAGAGAUAGUGGGGUACCAGUGGAAGUUGCUUCAACUGAGAGACGUCUGAAAUUUCAAUUUUUGAAGUUUGACUAGCUGUGAACCCACAAGUUUGCCUUUUCAACUGCAAUUCACGGGCAGCAAGAACGUUGAGUGUAGGCACAAGCAGCUGUGGGCAAUUUCGAAGGUUAAGUUCCUUCAAUAAAGGAAGGUGCAUUGGUAAUUCCCCAGUGAGUUUUGGACAGUUACUUAUAGAAAGCUCCUGGAAACGAGGGAAUUCUCCAUGUUUGCCUCCACAACAUAACCAUUUCUCCCAAUUGGACAUAGAGGAAAAUGAUAGAGUUUGCAGGGAUGGGAAGGAGGGAUGAAGCGAGGAAGAAGAAUUCCCAUAAAACUCACUACCCACCCUCACUACUCCAUUCAUUCCAAAGAUCUUUAUAUGUUCAAGACAAGGUAGCUGCCCCAGUGGCGGCAAUGUUGAGCAAUUCCUACAAUUCGAAAGCUGAAGGGAUACGAGAUUUGAAAAUGAUCCGUCUCCAAGCCAAUCUGGAAAUGUUAGACCAGGAUACCCUCCAAUGGACAACUUUUUUAAAUUUGGAUGAGGUGUUAGCCUGUUGAGAAUAUCAUCUUGUAUAGCAUCAUGACUAAUCCCCCGACUCCAAUUCAAGGAUAACUCAUCAAGGUAUUUCUUAUCCUUCAUUUUCGCCUGCAAUGCAUCCUCAACACCCACCACAUUCUCCAUUUUUGAAAUUUCAAGUCUUCCUCGAAUCUCUGAAAGCUUCCACAAUUCUCCAAAUCUGAAUCCACUUUCUUUGCCCACAGUAAAAUUAGAUAAUUUCUGCAAACUUUUUAAUUGACCUAUAUCAUUUGGCAUUUCUUCCAAUGAAUUAGACCCACUAAUAUCAAGAUAGCGCAAAUUAAUCAACUUCCCCAUUUUUGAAGGCAAUUCAAGAAGAGAAUCACAAUUACUCAGCAUCAUCGUUUGCAAAUUGCACAAACAACAUAUUGAUUCAGGUAAUCUUUUAAUCCAUGUUGUAGAGAGAUCCAAGUAACGCAACUGUUUUAAAUUGUGUAUUGAAUCAGGCACAUCUCUUAUGCAGUAUGCACGCAAUGACAACACCCGCAAAGAUUUAAAUUUUGGUAAUAUAUUGUGUAAAACUCUUGUACUCAACAAAUAAGGAGGCCAUGAUGUCUUCACCUCUAAGAUUGUUCUGAGAUGUUUGGCUUCACCAACAGGCUCAAAAGUUUCAAACACAGCUCCCCGGUCAUCGUCACUUUCAAAGUGGAAAAAAUGGCGAGCCUUAUCAGAUAUUUUUGGCAGCUUACAAUCUUCCAAUCGAAUGCAAAAUUCUUGGGAGAUAUGUUGAGCCAAGUCAUGUAUCAGAUCAUGCAUUACAAAGCAUGAUUUUUCUCCUCUAAUACAUUUUUGAAAAAACGACUUUGCUAAAAGUUCAUUUAAAUAUGAAUCACCUACCUCUUCCAUUCUUCUGUUACUUUGUCCUGAGUGUAAAAACCCUUCUGCCAUCCAUAAUAGAAUCAGCUUCUCUUUGUGGAAUUCAUAGUCCUUGGGAAAAUUUGAACAGUAAGCAAAACAACGCUUCACAGGAGGAGAGAGAUGCUGAUAACUCAAUCUAAGAGACGGAAGAAUUUCAUGAUCAGUUUGGGAAUGCCACGUUUCGCUAUUCAAAAUAUCUUCCCAUUCUCCUUUUUCGGCCUUGUAGUACAAGAGGCUCCCGAGUGCUUUAACAGCCAAAGGCAAUCCUUGGCACUUGUCCACAAUCUUUCUUCCUAUGGGCUCAAGCUGUGGAUAAGCGCUGGAGUCUCCAUUUGGAAAUGCAAGUUUUGUAAAUAUGGACCAACUAUCUUCAGGGCUUAAUGUCCCCAAAUGAUGAGUAGGGACUGCUCGCAUGAUUUUUGCAGCAGUUUCACUGCGACUAGUCACAACAAUCUUGCUUCCCUCUGCUGCAGUGAGGAGUGGAUUUCGUAGGCCUACCCAAUCAUCAGACUUCAUAUCCCAGACGUCGUCCAGAACAAGAAGAAAUUUCUUGUUACCUACUCUCUCUUUGAGUUUAAGCUGAAGCAAAUUUAGGGUGUCAUCAGGUUUAGUUUCAGAACCGAUUUCCUUGAGAAUUGAUUUUGUCACCUCCUCGAUGAGAAAAAUCUGAGUGGAAACACAGACCCAUGCUUUCAAGUGGAAGUGUUGCUUGACCGUGUCAUGGUUAUAGAGAAGCUGAGCGAGUGUGGUCUUGCCGUUGCCGCCGAUGCCCACUAUGGACAUCACAUCUAUGUUGUUGCCUGUUGCAUUUUCCUUAUCAGAAAGCAACCACUUCACCAUCUCCUCUUUGAUUCCAUCCCUGCCCACCACAGAGGACUCAUCCACCAAAGAAGUGGUUGGUGGCCUUGGUGACAGUUUAUCGCCCUCACCUUCUUUCAGCCCAAGCUUCUCUUUUUCUUCAGCAAUAUCUUCAAGCUUAGCAAUCAUCUCCUUCACCCUGGACUCCAUGCUUUGAUUGGCAAAUGGAGCCUUAACCCUGGUAGAGAACUUGUUCCACACCUGAUAAAUUCCACCAGGUUGGGAGUCAGCAGCUUCAAUCUCGCACCGCAAGGCUUCGGUAGCGAUCUCGUCCAACAGGUCCUCCGCAUGAUACACAGCAUCCUUAACCUGGACCAGCCAGUCUUUGACUAGUGGGUCUGAAAAUUGCUUCAUCUCCGCAUCAUUGAGCGCUUUGUGGACAACCAGCAAUUUCCUCUUCAAUUUGUUGAGGAGUUCAUGGCUAAGCUUCUGUCCCCGGAUGAAGUUCAUCAACUCCGGAGAAGUCAACCUGUCGAAUAGAACUUGAAGUGAAGCGGAUAGGAGUGCGUCGGCCAUAUCUGUUGACUGUUGCUUUGCAAAUCAAAGGAACUCAGCGAUUCAGUUCAGGAAAAAACGAAGGUAAAGCAGAUGCAGAAUCACACCACCAAACUGUAGUGGACUGGUUUGAACACGAGAUCCAAAAAUAAUGGAAAAAUAAAGAAGGCCACAGAGAGGCACAUGGGGCUGCACCAAACACCAAGGGAUGCACAUGGUCUGUCACCCUCGAGCAUAAAACUCAUGUUAUGUUUAUUAAUGACUCUUAUCUUUUUCAAAUCCAUAUAUAAUUUUAUCUAUAACUUCAUGCAUGUUUUUUUCAAUUGUUAGUAUUGAUUUUUUAUUUUUUUGUUUUUAAUAUAUUGGUGAAUCAAUUGGUGGAGUUGGGGCAGAUCUUUUGACAUUGAUCUAGGUCUUCAAUUUUUUCUAGAUUUGCUCUUUAGAAUAUUGUAUUUUAUUUACCAUUGCAAAAUAAUUAUUCAAGCUCUUAACUUGAAAAUAUUAAAAUUAUUUUUAACAAUUAGCAUUUUUGUUAAAAAAAAUAACUCGGUAGUUUAUGAAUUAAAGUAUGAAAAUUGUCAUUUUCUAUGUUUUCAUAAUGAUGUAAUUGUGAAACUCCUAACCCCCCAAAAAAAAAAAAAAGGAGAAAAGAAAUUUCACCUUAAUUGGCUUUUGUCAAAGGCAUAUAUACCUUUUACUCGCAUUAGUUCUAUACCUACUUGGAUAUCCUUGGUUUUGUACAACCGAUAAUGAAUUUCAUUCAAUUUGAUCGAUUUUGUAGUUCUUUAGUCGAUUUUAAUCAUAAUAAAAGAUUGUCUAUAUUUGAAUGUUUAUGUAAAUUCAACUGAAUUAAGAAUUUUUAUAUGACAAAAAUAAAUCUUAAUUAAAUAACCUUAUUAUUGCCUUCUCUAGCUAUAGCAGUCAUAAAACUUCUCAUAAUUACAUCAUCACCACCUUCACUUUCCAAUCUUGAAGCCACCUUGCAAGAUUCCUUAACAACAUCAUUAUUCAAUUCAAAAAAAUUUCACAUAAAUUAAAUAUAUAAAAAAAAAAAAUCAUUUUUCUCAAUUUUUAUUUUUUUUCUUUUCUGAGCAUUUGUCAAGCAAAUAAAAAAUAGGCUAAAUAACUUGAAAAUAAAUUGAAUAAUAAACCAAAGGAUGGAUUGGUAAGAUUAUUUAGUAUUGUUUAAUCAUAAUAAACAAAAGAGCAUUGCAAAGAUUAUUAUAAGAUGCCUACUUAAAUCAAUAAUAUCCUCCUCACUUCCUUCCAUAUACACGAGAUUCAAAAAAUAAAAAAAUAGAAUAAGCCAUGCGCAUGAGAUUCAUUUAGUUUUAUCGAGAGAGUUGUGCCUCUCAUGUACACACACACGCCAGAUUAAAUUGAAAGAUGAAAUAAGUCAUAGAAGGCUCAUGGGGCUGCUUAAAGCCUCACAGAGAGAGAGAGAGAGAGAGAGAGAGAGAGAGAGAGAGAGAGAGAGAGAGAGAGAGAGAGAGAGAGAGAGAGAGAGAGAGAGAGAGAGAGAGAGAGAGAGAGAGAGAGAGAGAGAGAGAGAGAUGGUUUUUUUUCUUUUCUUUACUUUUGUGAAAAAACAAUCAUUUAUGCUAUGUUUGGUUGGUUCAUAGAAAGUUUGAAGGAAGAUCGUAAGACAAAAAAAAAAAAAAAAAAACAUUGCAAAGAAAAAAAAUGAUUUAAAAUUAAUAAAUUCAUUUUACAUAUAUAUUAAUUCUUUGAUAUAAGAUUAAAUAAUUUAAAAAUAUAUAAUUUUCUUAAUCAUUUUAAUUACAUUUGACUUUUUUUCAUAUAUUUUUUUCCAUAUUUUAUAUGAUAUAAUAAAAAAUGAUAAAAUCAUUUUUCUUAACAUUUUCUUCUUUUCUUGAUAAUUUUCAGGAACUAAAUAUAAAUUUAUAUUAAAAGUAAUCCUUUAUAUUAAAGUCAUACUUGGUUCUCAUAAAGUGUUCCAAAAAAAAAUGUUAAAAAAAAAUUAAUUUUCUCCUGUUUGAUUUUACUAUUAAGAAUAUGAAAGAAAGUCAAAUAUAAUUAAAAUUAGUAAAAAAAUUUAUAUAUUUUCAAGUUAUUUAAUUUUUAUAUAAAAGAGUUAAAUAAGUAAAAUGAGUUUAAAAUAUGAUAUAAAAACAAUUUAUUGACUUUUCACAUCUAAUUAUCUUAUCCUUCAUUUGUAAUACUAGAAGUAUCAAAGAAAUGAAAAAAAGGAAACCUACAUGAGAAUUUAAAAUCAUAUGUUUGAAUGAGAGUGAAAUCUCAAAUACUAAAUUACAUAUAUUUUUAUUAAUGAAGAAAAAUGAGAAAUAAUAUUUUUUUUAAAAAGGAUCUAAAUUUUUUCCCUUUACUUUUUUUACAUGUCACAAACAUGGUUCUCUUAGUUUCUAAUCUUUCCUAAUUCAUCAAAGAAUAAAUCCCCAUAGUCAAUGACACAAGUACUGCAGACAUGGCAAUGAGAAUUCUGCUAAUGAGAAGCUAGCACCAAAAGAUUUAGGUCUUCUCUUAUGACCCAUAACCAUGACAUUCAUCUCAAUGAUCAUCUCUAUGAAGACAAAAAUUCCUCGUCACAAUACCUAAGAAAUGCCAAAACAGGAACAAAACUUCCUACCAAACUUCAAGCCCAUCUGCCUACCUUUAAAAGGUGGUCCACUGGGUCAAUGCAAAAUAGACCAGCUUUUAUUACAGAGACUCCCAAUCAAUGAAUGCAGGCUGCUAAACCAAAAUAUAAAACAAUAAGAUGUUUUUAGGUUAUUGAGAACAUGAACCAAAACAAAGAAAACUUUUUUGUUUUAGUGAAAAAUAAGACAUUGAAAGGAUAUGCAGUCAUAAAACUUGCAAUUUUGUAUAUUGCAGAGUUAAAUCUCCACUUUUAAUACACUGGAAAGGGAAUAGCAGCAAGAAAAGACCAAAGCAAUUAAAAUUUCUUACUGCCAAAGCACAAUACAUCCCUACUUUACUCCAUGCUUGUAUAAGAGAACAUAGACCCAGAAAGUGACAAAAACCUAAGCAUCCAUGGUUUUCCAUAGUUAUCAAGUGGUUCACUUGGUUUAGGCAUACUGCCAAAUAAAAACAGAGCAUGACCUUGCCAGUACCAUUAGAAUAUGGCAACUAUCUGCAUCCAAAAUGUGAGCACUUAGGUUCAAUCCUCCUCGACUCCUCUUCAAUAUUUGUUUCAAACUUGAAGCUUCACGAAAAAAGAAAAUCCCUAACACACCUGCCAUCGUUAAAAAAAUUAGCAUCAACAAGCAGACAUAAGAUUCCUUGCACCUAACAUUGACAUGGACUCAAAUUAUCCAAAACUAACCUAAAUUCAUGGAGAUGAAUGCCAAUCAAGCAAAGCACGUGCCUGUGUGAUGUUUGGUCAGUCAUCUGGAGAAGCUUGGAGCACGCCCAUGAUUAGAUCUGUCACAUGAGCUGUAUUUUGGUAAUUCUGGAAUGCGGUAUUUUCUAUUUAAGAUAAUAGAUGGUGAGAAACAUAUAGUCAGAUGAAUAAUAAAACACAUACUCUAGUAUUCUACUGAUUGAUUCACCCAUUCACUAAUCAUUAAAAAGUCUAGAAAUAUAGAAGCUUAAAUUUUCGAAUUUAUGGACAUAGUAAAUAAGCUCAUAAUCAUCAUUUCUAUACAAAAUCAGGAAGUUCAAUGAGGAAGUUGCACUCAACCGCCUUAAGAUAAUAAGGACAUCAGAAUAGAAAACAAAGCUACAAAAAGUCUUAAAGCCAAGAUCAAUUUAAUUAUAGUAUUCUUCUUGGGAGUUGCAUGGUAUAAACCUUCGUUAAGACAUGGACUCUAAUUUUCUUUUCAAAGAAACAGCUAACAUCCUGAUCGGAUAAACAAUGAGAGCCAAUGCCCAGGGCCACUAACAGGAAUGUAGGCAUGGAAACAACAAUUCUGCUAAUGAGAAGCAGCACAAGAAGACCGUCACCUUCAGGAUCCAUGUCAUUGAUCCAAAUGAUCAACUCAGCAACAGUUAAAAAAAAAAAAAGUAUACAAAAAUUCAUAGUCACAGUCGAGAUCUAAGAAAUGCCCAUAAAAGAACAUAACCACAUCAAAAUUAGGACAAAACAAGUACAACUACCUAAUAAUAAAAAAAUUGACCAAAAUACUUCAUGUAAACAAAUAAAAAAAGUUGACCAAUUCAGUAUCAUAAAAUACUUCAUAUAAAAUUUUUGCUUUUAAAAUCGUAGUUUGCUAAAUGAUCCUAGUUGGUUGAUAUGGAACACAUGGAGAAGAAAAGAAAAAACAAAAAGUAUUGAGUAAUUUAGUUUGAUAAAAAUUAAAAAGAAAAUGGAAAUUUAUUCGGAGAAGUAGCAUCAAUUACCCAUGGAAUAAGUGCCUGCAGAUGUCUCCCAAAGAAUCUUAAUUCAUUCGUAAAGCUACAAUAUUGACUACAAACUAACCAAAAAGAUCAAAAACUUUAAAUUCAUGCAAAUUAAUUUAUAAUAAAACAAAAAGAAGAGAAAUUCAUUCUCAUAUACAAAUUCUAAAAGGAAGAGUGACAAGAAAAGAUUAACUAAUAAAAACUCCAAAGGGGUGUGGUGGUAUAGAAACUUCGACCUUCCUCAUUGUUGGCCUAAUUACAGCCUCAAAGAUGAUUAAAGAGCCAUUGCUCAUGUGAUUAAAAUAUGAUAACUAGCUUUGUUAAAAUGUGAAUUACCAAGAAUCAAUCUUCCUUUACUCAUCUAGAGAUGCGUAAAUUCUAGAGAUUGUCAGAAAUUCUGAAAAGUACUUGACAGCUACUUUAUGAAUUGGAACAUAAAGUUUCUGAAUAAAAUAAGCAUAGAAUUAAUUACCUGACUGUAUAUUGGUGCGGUACCACUUUCAUUAAAAUAUCACACCAUUGAUCACUAUUUUUGGAGGUGAGAGCAAGCAAUUGCAUAUAUAUGAGAUCAGGGUACCCUCUGAUUUGCAAGUAACGUCAAUAGCCUGUCCGAUAUGAAGUUCAUAAUUAUAUGAACUCUAUUGCAUUCUCUGCUUCCCCUUCAUCAGCUUGGCAACUAGGCAUUUGAAAAAAUUUGGUCUUUAAAAUCUGGAUCCAAGAAAGAAUAACCAUACAGGCACACACACCUGGACAGCCUCCCCUCUUCAUCAAACAAUUCAAUAGCUGUUAAAUCCAUGGCCGCUGGUGCCUAUGCUGCACAUGUCAUCAGGAAUUGCCUGCACAACAGACCAAGAAGAAGCAUUUGAGUGCUUAUAUGAUCUAGCAGCUCCAUCAGAAUCAAGUGUUGCCCUGUAGUAAUAGUCACUCCUUAAGUCUCUUAUGCUUAAGUCUCUCCCCAUGUGCAGGUAGGUAUCUGGGUCUGAUUGUUACUCAACCCAACCAAGCAUGGGCAUCCAUACUUGAUACUUUUCAGGUUGGUCAAAUUGAAAUGAGUUACAUAUAAUGCUCAUCUCCCGUAUCGUUUUUGAAGCUAGUUCGGCUAGACUAAUAGACAAAUAAGCCCUCAAAAUAAACUUGCCCAGGUUGAGAACAGACCUUAUAUUGAGAUAGUCCACAACCAACUCUGCUCUUAAUAUAUAAGAAAUAAUGAAAAAUAAAUAGUCAAACAAAUAAUAAAAUGCAUAACCUAAUAUCCUAUUGAUUGAUUCACCCAGUUUUUAACCAUUAGAAAGUCUGGAAAUAUAGAAGAGUGACUUUUCGAAUUCAUGAGGAUGGUGAAUAAGCUUAGAAUCAUCAUUUCUACACAAAGUCAGUUGGUUCGAUGAGGGAAUUACACUCUUAACUACUUUAAGAUAAUACAACAACAUCAAAAAUAGAAAAUUGAACUACAAAAGGUCUUAAAUUAAGAUCAAUUUAGACAUAAUAUACUUCUUGGGAGUUUCACGGUAUAAACCUUUGUAAAGAAUUAGACUCUCCUUCUUUAAGACUAUGGACCCAAGACUCAUACUCACUGAUAGAAGUGCAGGCAUGCCAAUGAGAAUUCUGCUAAUGAGAACCUAGCAUAAGAAUAUUAAUGUCUUCUCCUGUGAUCCAGAACUAUAGUCCGAAAUGGGAUCCAUGACAUUGAUGUCAAUGAUCAUCUCCAUGACAACAGAAAAUAUACAGAAAUUCCUAGUCAUAGUCAAGACCUAAGAAAAGCCAAAACAAGAACAACGAAACAUUAAAAUUGGGACAAAAACAAGUGCAUAAGCUUCCUAAUGAACAUUUAAGUCUAUUAGCUUACCUUUAAAAAGUGGACCACUUAGUUAGCACGCAAUAGACCAGCUUUUGUUACGACUCCCAAUCAAUGCAGGUUGCUAUUAUCAUAACCGAACUUUGUUCCUCAUAAGCAGUCUUUUAUGCUGAUACUGGUAACUUAAUAUGGAACAUGUACAAAAAAGAAAAGAAAUAACAAAAAGUAGUAAUUAAUUUCGUUUGAUAUUGAAUGGAGUAAAGUCACAACAUGUGCAUAUGCAAGUAUAUUAUCCUAAAAACCACUUGCAAAAGGCACCAAGUACCCAACUAAUAUCAGACUUGAAUAACCAUGAAUUACCUAAAACUGUAUCCACAUGUUCCUGCAUGAGAUAGAUACACAGAUAGUUUCAACUUUGCUCAUUUGGAAAGAUCAAUUAAAGCUACAAUGCAAAUUACCUGGGAUGAAUUUUCCUUUGUUGGAGAACUUCUCAAAUCAAACAAAUAGAGUUUGUUGCUUGCUCAAAUCUUCAACAACUGGACCAGCCAAAGACUUGUGUAGAUGUACAAUUCCUAAAGAGUGUUGAGCAUAUUAGGAGCCUUUGAAUUCUGAAAGGAGGUCAAGACCUUAACAAUGUAGAAGGUUUAAGUAAUUCUGUUAUCAAACAUGGUAAAAUUGAUUAAACAAAACCUUGAACAGUGAGGUAUUUUCUUCUAAAAAAGAUGAGUCCACCAUUGUGUGGACUAUUGAGAAUAUAAAAAAUACGACAUCAGAAUUAUAAGUAACUAAAAUUACCUACCAAUAAGCAGCUAGCUAGAAUAAAUCCAUGGUUUUCUCCAUGCCUGUAUUAGAGAAAUGACAAAGAAAGUGAGGAAAAAAAAUCAAAGCAUUCAUGUUUUUCGACAGUAAUUAAGUGGUUCACUUGGGUUAUGCAUACUGCCAAAGCAUGAAAAUAUGAGUACCAUUAAAAUAUGAUCUGAACUGUCUGUGUCAAAAUGUCAGCACCUAGGUUGAAUCCUCAUCUACGGCUUUUCAAUAACAUUUGUCCUAGGGUUGAAGCUUCAAGAAGAAGAAAUCUUAAAUCAAAUAAAUGGAGCUAAGGAAUUAUGCAGAUAUAUUCUUGAGAUUAGAAAUUUGGAUGGCUACAUCAGGAAUUGGAACAUAAAUUUUCUAACAAAAUAAGUUCAAGCACAAAGCAAUUACCUGCCGAUAUGUUGGUGCAGUGCCAUUUUCAUUAAAAUAGCACAUCAUCGAUCACUAUUUUUGGAAUGUGAGAUAUAAAACGCCAUUCUUGCCCUUUCUCAAAUUGGCACUGUUGUUCCAGUGAAGGACACUUGAGGACAUACAGAUAAGAGAGGGAGUUUGGCCGUCUCUCUUUUGUCAAGUAUUGGAGCUUAGGGCACUUGUAGAGAUCUAAGGUUUCAAGAGUGGUGAGGUGGUGAAGACCCGCUUAAUAAAAAUUAAUAAAAUAAAUGAAUUUAUUAUAUCUGGAAUAUGUAUAUAUGUCUUAUCUUAGGAUUAAUAUAUAUUAAAUAUCCAUUAAUAGAAAACCCAUUUUUUCUCUUUCCACAAUCUAAUCCUAAUACGAAAAAUCUUGAAAUAUUAUUGGUUUUCUAGCUUUCUUUUAAUUUCUCUAAAAUUUUUCAUUAAGUAAAUAAAUUUGGAAUCAAACUAUACCUCAUAGGUAAAAUUUAUUAAUUUUUAAAAUUAAUUUCAAACUCAAAAACCAAUUUAAUUAGUACUAAAAAGUCAAAAACACAAUAAUAUUAUAAAUUCAUAGGUCAAAAUUUAUUUAAAAUAACUUGGUUAGCUUCUUCUUCACAUAUAACCUAUUUUUAUAAAUUUUUUUCAUGAAGCAAAUAAACUUCAAAUUAAUCGAGACUUGAUGUGUUGAAUUCAUUAAUGAGUUUAAUAAUUUUUAAAAAUAAUUUAAAACUUAAAUAAUUAUGUAAUUAAUACCAUCAAUUUAUAAAUAAAAAUUGGUUUCAAAUGACUCUAUUUUUUUUUAUUUUCUAUGUAAAAUUAUUAUUUUCUUAUUUUUUUGUUUCUAUUAUGCAAAUGGACUCCAAAUUAAACAAGACUUAAUGUCAUAUUUUUAUCAAUGAGUCUAGUAAUUUUUAAAAAUAACUUAAAACUUAAAUAGUGAACCAAUUACUAUUAAAAAUUUAUGGACAAAAAUUGAUUUAGAAUAAUUUUAUUUAUUCUUUUUCUUUACAUAAUCAUUAUUGUCCGAUUUUUUAAACAAAUAAACUUUAAAUUAAACAAGACUUAAUACAUCGGAUUCAUUAAUAAGUUUAAAAAAUUUUAAAAAUAAUUUAAAAUUCAUAUAAUAAACUCAUUAAUAUAAGAAAUUUAUGAAUUAAAAAUGAUUCAUAAUGACUAUUAUUUGUAUUUUUGGUUUUAUUUUAAAAAUAAUUUUUUAAAAAUAAGCGUUAGAAGACAUGUUCAAACGGACCCUUAGCUUUUAAAAAACAAUGCAAUUAUGCAUUUUACAAUCUUUUCUAAAGGUAAUUACAAAUUGUUUUAGUUGUUUUUCCACCUUUCAACCCAAAAAAUUGUUGAAAAUAUAAAUAAAAAAAAAUAUUGUGAUAUUCAACUAUUUCACUUGAAGUUACCCAAAUAUGAAAAUAAGGAUUGAAGGGUGCAAUCAUGCAACCCAAUGGCAUUGAUUUAACAUAGGUUUUGUCCAAUUUACAACCAUAUAUAUUAGUGCAAUCACUAAUAAAAACUCAUUUUAAUGAUCAAGAUAAGUCAUUCUUCUAAUUAUGAGGUAGUAUGCUACAAUUUUAGAUUGAUUGUUCAAGUUUAUGAAUUGGUUGUAAACAAUCCAUCAACUUACAAUAAACUUAUGACUUGGAUCUUUCGUAUAACUUUUUAUACACUAAAAUCUUAUACAAUGCAAGUGAUGUAAACCCGAGUGUUCAAAUAAAUAUUAAUGUAAAUAAUGGCAGAAUAAUGGAAAUAGAAAUCAUAAUAUUAUAUAUAUAUUUAUGAAAUUUCACUUAGUUAAAUCAUGUUAUAUUUUUAAAGGCUUUGAUUUUUUUAAUUGGAUCUUGGGCUUUUAGGAUUUGAUCUUGGGUUUUAGUUGUUUCAUUCGAUGUUAGGCAUUUAUAAUUUUAUUUGGGAACAAUUCAUUUGAUCGAGGCUUCAAUUUUUUGAUGUGGGCUAUAGGCUGUGAUUAUUUCGGGCUUUGGGUUUUUGUGAUUUGGGCUAGUUUUGAUCAUUUAAUUUGUUGUUUUGGGCUUUGGUUUGGAUUGAUAUUUGAUUAGGCUUUGGGUAUUGGAUUUGUUGUUUCUUAAUUUGGAAAUAAUAUUUGACAUUGGCUUUUGGGCUUCGCUUUUAAUAUGUAGUUUUGACCUUGGUUAAUUCCUAUUUGAGCCCCUGGUCGGAUUAUUUCAUUUUGGCCUAUUGAUUUGUUGACUUGGACUUUGUGUUUGUGCUUGUUUGUGAUUUAGGCUUGGUCUAUUGUUCUGGGGUUUUAGUUUGAUUGUGGGCAUUUGUGUAUUACUUUGGGCUUGGCCUUUAUAAUUGUUUUGAAUUUAUUUAUGGUAUGGGCUUGGUUGUUUGAUUUUGACCUUCUAUAUACUCUAUUUGACCUGGGCUUAGGGCUUUCAUUUAGUUUAUUUGAGCUUGGUUAAUUUGAUUUGGAUUUGGGCCUGUUAUAACUUGUAAACUAUUUAGGCUUGCUUUUCUUUUAUUGAACAGAAUCAACAAAAGUAAGGUGUAUAUUUUUUUAAACAAGCAGAAUACGCGCAUUCAAAGUUUUGAAAAAUAGUUUUGAAAAAUUAAUUUUAAUCUUUUUUAUGUAUAUAAAUAUUUUCCAAAAAUAACUUUAUGAUAUAUAUUUCUUCAAGCAAUCAUAAACGAAAAAAAAAAAAAACAAAUGAAAAUAACCGAAAACAACUCAUAUAUUUUUUCAAAAAACACCUAAACCGGCUUGCUUUUUUUUUUUUUUUUUUAUCAAACAGUUUUCCUAUUUUCUUGUUCUUAAAUAUAGAUAAACAAAAGUGGUUCAUUGUGACCCUAUCAUUUGUCUUUUGUUUUUUAAUUUUAAAAUAGGUUUUAAAAACAAGUAGAAAAAUAUGAUGAAACGAACCCUUAUCUUUUAAAAAAUAAGGCAAUUCAAAAUACAUUUUAAAAGGCAAAUUAUAAAUUUCUUUAGUUGUUUUCUCAUCUUUGAAUCGAGAAAAUUUGUUUGUACGAUCUUUCCAUCUAAUUAGUCCCUUGAAAUAUUUGUCCCCUUUUUCAGUAUUAUCAAUAUAUUUAUGACUAUUUGAAUGAAAAUAUAAGAAAAUAUCAUAAAUAUUCUCAUGAAACUCCUUGAUAGCAAUUAUUUCACUUAUCAGUGAAAAUAAAGUUACCCAAAUAUAAAAAAGGAUCGAAGGAUGCAACCCAAUGGCAUUCAUCGAGAUGGCAAAGUUUGAUACAAUUUGCAAAUACUUCUAUAUAUACUCAUCUUAUCUUAUAUUUCAUUGAAUAUAAGAUAAGAUAAAUUAAUGGAUAUUUAUCAUAUAGUAUCCCUACCAAAAAUGUCCCCUCCUUUAUUUGAACUCAUGGUAGGUGAAAGAAUGUAUUUUCGUGCAAAUGAUAACAAGGCAAUGAUUCGAGAUCAUGAAUAGAAAGAAAUUCCAAAAGCGCUACACAGUAACCUUCCUCAUGGUUGGCCUUAGAGCUGAAUCCUCCUGAAUGCACCAAAUGGACACCAUCACUAGCCUCUCCAACCUCUUCAUAUCAUUCAUAAUUUGCAUCCUCAUCAUCUUCCACCAACUUCUCCAACUUCCUUUGCACAAACAGUUCAUAAUCUCGAUCCAUUAGAGCUUCCUCUCCGUCUUCCAUAUGAAAGAGGAAAUCUUCUUCUAACACAUUGUCUCUAUAAAUGGCUACUUUGCAUAAGCAAUCCUCUUUACAUGACUCUUUAUACUUCUCCUGCUCAACCAAUUUGUGUUGUUUAAUUCUUUCAACUCCACUUCAUCCUUCGCUUUCUUCACUUUCUUCGCUUCAUCUUCAUCUGCUUGGCAACUCCACUUCACUCUCACUCUCAAGAACAAAGUUACCGAGCAUGGCAGCAUGAGUAACCCCUUUAACAGCCGACUAAGUUCUCCAAAGCUCAUAUCCUCAUUUGUCAGCGAGUUUGAACUCCCCAUUUUUGGUGAGUUCAAUUUUUGUACCCUUCUGCCACUUCUUUAUCUGCAUACCAAAUUAUUGUUUGGUAAUUCAUGUUCGCUAAUUGCAUAUAGAACAUAAUUAGCCCUUUUAAAAAUAAUAAUUAAUAUGAUCAAUCAUCUUCUAAGAUGGCAUGUUACAUAAAAGGUAACAAGAUUAUGCUACUUUUUAAAAUUUUUCCUUAGGGUGUCAAUGUCAUAAUGUGGGUACAAACUGACAGUAUAGGAACAAGUACAUUGAUAAAAAUUAAAAGAGAAAAAUUCGAAAUUUAUUCAGAGAAGUAGCAUCAAUUGCCUAGGGAAUAAGUGCCUGCAGAUGUUACUCCUUAGUCCCCAGUAUGCUUGAAACAAACUGGAGACUGAUCAGUUUCUUACAGUAUCAGAAGACGGCAGCCUAGCUAUAGCUAACCACACAAAGAGAUUGAAGAACACUGAGCUGCCAAGUAGUAGUGACCCAACAAGAAUCAAGGUAGACUUAUCUGGGCCUGUCUGCAAGCCUUUUGCUCUGUUUUCCACAGGAAAGAAGGAAUCUCUUCUGCCAACACAUUGUCUGUAUAAAUGGCUACUGCACAGAAGCAAUCCUCUUCACAAGACUCUUUAAAACUUCUCCUUGUCAACAAUCCGUCUAAUCCAAAGUUCAUAAUUGGAGAUUUGCCAGUCUAUGUUGUUAUUCUAUGAACUCUACUACCUGCUUGGCAUCUGGACAUUGGAAAAUUUGGUCUUUAAAAUAUGGAGCCAAGAAAGAAUGCCUACAUAGGCACUCACAUCUGAACAACCCCCUCUCCCCAUCAAACAAUACAAUAGCUGUUGAAUCCACAAAUCCCGCUGCCACUGCCACUUGCAGCUGCAUUGCAAUUGUCAUCAGUAAUUGCCUGCAGAACAGACCAAGAAGUAUUAAUGCAGUUCCAAUGGUUUGCAGUGUUCUGUUUUCGGUGCUUAUAUAAUUAAAAUCAAGUGUUGUCUUGUAUUAAAAUCACUCCCAAAAUCUAUCUUCUGAUAAGAGGUUAACUUAUGUGGCAAGAUGGUAUCAGUGGGAUUCUUGAAGCACGCCCAGGCGCAAAUAACUAAAGCCAUAUUUUCAAAAAAAUUUGCUUACCAACCAAGAAAAACCUGGUAGAAUUAGCAGGUCAUUCAAGUACAUGUGGUUUUGGCCUCUUAAAUAUUCAAUCACAGGUACAUUCUAUAUGAUUUUAAGCGACUAGAGAAGAAUGAAAAAGAAAAUUAUGAGAAUGUCAACCAGUGUGGAAACUAAUUUCCUCAAGUAACUUCUCUCAAUAUCAUUUUCCUUUGUGACAAUAUUAAAGACCUAUAGUUACAAGUUACAACUUAAUUUUCAUCUCCGGACUUACCAUGUGAACAUACUUGAGUCUGAUUGUAACUCGACCCAACCAAGCAAGGGUCAUCCAUACUUGAUACCAUUGACAUUGGUUGAUGGAAUUGAGUCACGGGCUAGUCCAGCUUGACUAAUAGUCAAAUAUGCUCUCAAAACGAACUUUCCUGAGAUUGAGAACAAACCUUGUAUCAUAAAAAGUUCAUAAAAAUAAAUCUGGAGAACAUUUAAUAUAGUCAACAACCAACUCUUGUUCUUCAUAAGAGGUGGUGAAUUAGCUCAUAAUGUAGAAGAGUAAAUUUUCUAAAGCAUGAAAAUGGGGGAAUAAGCUCAAAAUCAUCAUUUCUAUACAAAAUCAGAAAGUUCAAUGAGAGAAUUGCAUUCAAUUACUUUAAGAUAAUAACAACAUCAAAAUAAAAAACAGAACCACAAAAGUCUUAUAGUCAAGACAAUUUAAUUACAAUAUUCGUCGUGGGAAUUUUGCGGUAUAAACCCUCAUUUAGACUUGGACUUUUUAAUUUUCUUUAUGAAUAAACAAUUGGCUCCUGCUCAAAUGAAAAAUGAGAACCAAUGCUCAUAGUCACAGACAGAAGUGUAGGCAUGGCAAUACCAAUUUUGCAAAUGAUCAUUUGGUCAUAGUCAAGACCUAAGAAAAGCCAAAACAAGAACAAUAGAACAUCAAAAUUGGGACAGAAACAUGUGUAGCAACUACAUAAUAAAGAUUUGUGUCAAUCUGCUCACCUUUUGAAGGUGGUCCACUGGUUUAGUGCAAAAUAGACUGAUUUUUUCUUUACAGGGGCCCUCAAUCAGUGUUGGCUGCUGAACUAGAAGAGAGUUCAGAUAACUAAAAAAUUCUAUAAAUUCAAUACCAUAAAAUACCUCACAUAAAAAUGUUGCUUUUGGAACUGUAGUUUUCCAAAUGUUCUCAAAUUUAAAAAUACAUUGGCAUAAAGUUAUUGAUGUUUACCUCAUAUUUUUUUCCAUGGUCAUAUCAAACAUUGUUCUCAUAGUAAGUCUUCUAUGUUGAUCCUUGUUGCUUAAUAUGAAACACAUAAAAGAAAAAGUGGUGAUCAAUUUAUUUUGAUAUCGAAGGGAGCAAAGUCACAACAUGUACAUUACAUAUGUAGCCAACUAAGUAUAUAUUAUGAUGUGGGUAAGAUUCAAUACAUAUUUCAGUAACCAUGAAUUACCUAAAAAUGUACACGUGUUCUUACAGGAGAUAAACACACAAGUAGUUAAGAGUCAUCUUUGCUGGGCAACCAGGCAAUUGAAAAAAUUUGGUCUCUAAAAUUUGUAUCCAAGAAAGAAUACCUAUACAGGCAACAGUCUGGAUAGCCUCCCCUCUUCAUCAAGCAAUACAAUGGUUGUUAAAUCCACAAAUCCCACUACCAUGGCUACUGGUGUCUAUGCUGCAAUUGUCAUCAAAAUUGCCUGCACGAUAGACCAAGAAGAAGCAUUUGUUUUUAAAAUCAAAAGCUUCUAUAUAUAAGUAAAGCAUCUUAUACAAAAGUGUAUAGAUUUACAUUUUCAGAAAUUUUAAAUUUGAGAGAAUGAGAGUUUAUUUGGUGAAGUUUUUAAAAAUAAUUUUCUAUUUUUAAAAAUUGAAAAAAGUUUAAAAAAAUUAAUAACACGGUUUGGUUAUUCUUAUCGAUUUCCUUUUUUAAAAACAAAGUAAAAUAAAGAAUAACUUUUAGAGAACAAUUAAAAGUUAUUUUUAUCUAUUUUUAAAAAUAAUAGAAAAACACAUGCACUCUAUUAUUUUUCUUCUACAUAGAAUUAUUAUUUUUCAAUUUUUUUGGUUAAGCAAAUUAACUCCAAAUUAAACAAAACUUAAUGUGUUGUAUUUGUUAACAAGUCUAUUAAUUUUUAAAAAUAAUUUAAAACUUAAAUAAUAAUCUCAUUAAUACCAUAAAUUUAUUAAUAUAAUAAAAUAUCUUUUUUUUCUAACAAAUAAUAAAAUAGUAUAAUUUCUACUAAAAAUAUAAUUUAUGAUUUUAUUAUUAUAUUACUAUUUAUGUUUUACUAAAAACUAUAUAUUUUUUAAUUUUUUUGUAAUUACAAAAUUAUUUUCAUUUUCAAUUAGAAUUCAAUUCAAUUUAAUUAAUUAAUAUUAAAUAAAUUGAAUUUUAAAUAUUUUUACAAAAUAAAAAUAAUUUUAAAAAAAAACAAUUUAUCCAAAGAAGUCUUUUUUUAUUUUUUAAAUUCAUUUUACAAUAAUAACUUACCAAAUAUCCUUAAUUUUAUAAAACAUUAAAAAACCUUUUUUGAUUCUUCAACGUUAACAAAGUUUCUAAAAAAACAUAAGAAAUCAUGUUCAAACAAAAAGUUUUAAAAAAUUAAUUAAAGUACUUAAUUGACUUAUAUUAAAAAUGAAUAUUAAACUUAUUUUUAUAUUAUAGAAAUUUUUUAUUUCACUAUAAUAAAAAAAAUCGUUUCAUAAUUAAAAAUAAAAUUACUUAUCUUUAACUAAUAUAUAAUUUUAAUAAGACUUAACUUGAAUUUGAUUUCAUAUUAUUAUAAAUUAAUUUUAUAAAAUAACUAAUAUAUUAUUUUAAAAAAUAAUACAAAUUUUUUCAUCCAAAGUUCUUGCUUUUUGUUUUAAAAAACUAUUUUUUAAAACAUCUUGUCAAAUACUCUAAUUUUUAAAAAAUUAUAAAAAACAGAUUUUUGUAGCCCUAAAUUAUUUUUUUGAUACCUUGAUUGUUUUAAACAGUUUUUAAAAUUAUUAAUUUUUCAAUGUAAGCCUUUAAGAGUUAAAAUACAAAAGUUACUGUCACUUAAUUUUAGGCUUAACAAUGUAGGAGAUUUAAGUGUAGGCAAGGAAUUAAGCAGAUAUAUUCUUGAGAUUAGAAAUUUGGGUGGAACAUAAAUUUUGUAAAGAAAUUAAGUUUAAGCACACAACAAUUACCUGCCCAUGUGUUGGUGCACUGCCACUCCCAUUAAAAUAGCACCCAAUCGAUCACUAUUUUUGGAAUGUGAGAUAUAUAACGCCAUUCUUGCCCUUUCUCGAAUUGGAGCCGUUGUUCCAGCAAAGGACACGAUCCGACAUCCAGAGAACAGAGGGAGUCUGGCAGUCUCUCUUUUGUCAAGUAUUGGAGCUUAGGGCAACGGACGAUACUUAAGGUUUCAAGAGUGGUGAGGUGGUGAAGACCCGCUUCUGUCAAGGAUUGGAGCCUUACGCACGACCAGAUUCGUAAUUCCUUGAGAGAGAUAAGGCGUUGAAGAACAGAUCCUGUCGAGAAUUGGAGCUCAGGGCAGUUCUCGAUCCGUAAUUCUCGAAGAGAGGUGAGUUGUUGAAGCCCCUUGUUGUCAAGAGAGUUGAGAUUUGGAAGAACACAGAUUGAAAGAUGAGUUAGAGAAGAGGGCAGCAGACACUCCUUGGGAAAUAAUUCCACGCCUUCACAUCCACCUCCGAUUGUGAAAUGAGUAAGAGAGGUCAGUCUUUGCAAAUCCCAGUCCACCUGUGACGUGAGUUGGUUGCAGCGCCAUAUUGCAAGUUCCCGUAGGUUGGAAGGCAAACCCUCCCUGUGCAACAACAAUUCUGGACAAUCCGCUAAACACAGUUUCUGCAGAGAUGAAUGGGUGUGCGCCAGCAAUUUGAGAUUGGAGCAAUUCCAAAUAUCAUGGUACAUCGAGUCAAGAGCAGGCAGUUGGAUGUAUACAAGAUUAAGGCACCGAUGGAUCUUCAAAUUACGAAGAGAUGUGGGAUCCCCCUCUGAAAUCGAGAUGCAGAGCUCCUCAAGCCCCUUAAGACCAUUUAUUUCGAAAUCAGUCAACCUGGGGAAGAUGUCCAAUACUGAGAAGGACAACAAGAGAGAAUCACAGGUACCGCCAUUGAUUGAUAGAUUUUCGAGAACCGGGUGAUGGCAUCUGAACAACUCAGGUAGAAGAAGGUCCAAUUUGGUACAAUCAGAGAUUGAUAACGAUUUCAAUGUACUGGGUAAGCCAACUUUGUUUGGGGAUCUGUAAAAAGAGCAAUCACAAAUUUCCAAACUGUACAUGUUGGUUUGCAGGAUUUCCUCCUCUAGUAGAGACUCCACAGAAUCAGAUUUUCUAAUGUAGAGAUAGUGGGGUACCAGUGGAAGUUGCUUCAACUGAGAGACGUCUGAAAUUUCAAUUUUUGAAGUUUGACUAGUUGUGAACCCACAAGUUUGCCUUUUCAACUGCAAUUCACGGGCAGCAAGAACGUUGAGUGUAGGCACAAGCAGUUGCGGACAAUCUUUAAGGUUAAGUUCCUGCAAUGAAGAAAGGUGCAUUGGUAAUUCCCCAGUGAGUUUUGGACAUAGCCUUAUAGAAAGCUCCUGGAGACGAGGGAAUUCUCCACAACAUAACCAUUUCUCCCAAUUGGACAUAUCUUCAAAUGAUAGAGUUUGCAGGGAUGGGAAGGAGGGAUGAAGCGAGGAAGAAGAAUUCCCAUAAAACUCACUACCCACCAUCACUACUCCACUCAUUUUUGAGAUCUUUAUAUGUUCAAGACAAGGUAGCUGCCCCAGUGGCGGCAAUGUUGAGCAAUUCCCACAAUUCGAAAGCUGAAGGGACACGAGCUUUGAAAAUGAUCCAUCUCCAAGCCAAUCUGGAAAUGUUAGACCAGGAUAGUGUUGAAUGGACAGUUUUUUUAAAUUUGGAUGAGGUGUUAGCCUGUUGAGAAUAUCAUCUUGUAUAGCAUCAUGACUAAUCCCCCAACUCCAAUUCAAGGAUAACUCAUCAAGGUAUUUCUUAUCCUUCAUAUUCGCCUGCAAUGCAUCCUCAACACCCACCACAUUCUCCAUUUUUGAAAUUUCAAGUCUUCCUCGAAUCUCUGAAAGCUUCCACAAUUCUCCAAAUCUGAAUCCACUUUCUUUGCCCACAGUAAAAUUAGGCAAUUUCUGCAAACUUUUUAAUUGACCUAUAUCAUUUGGCAUUUCUUCCAAUGAAUUAGACCCGCUAACAUCAAGAUAGCGCAAAUUAAUCAACCUCCCCAUUUUCGAAGGCAAUUCAAGAAGAUGCCUACAUUUACUCAGCACCAUCGUUUGCAAAUUGCACAAACAACAUAUUGAUUCAGGUAAUCUUUUAAUCAUUGUUGUAGAGAGAUCCAAGUAUCGCAACUGUUUUAAAUUGUGUAUUGAAUCAGGCACAUCUGUUAUGCAGUAUCCACACAAUGACACAACACCCGCAAAGAUUUAAAUUUUGGUAAUGUAUUUUGUAAAACUCUUGUACUCAAUGAAUAAAUAGGAAAGGGUGGUACUUUGUUCUCCGCUAAGACUGUUCUGAGAUGUUUGGCUCGACCAACAGGCUCAAAACCGUCAUAGUCACUUUUAAAGUAGACCAAAUGCCUAGUCUUAUCAGAUAUUUUUUGCACCUUACAAUCUUCCAAUCGAAUGCAAAAUUCUUGGGAGAUAUGUUGAGCCGAGUCAUGUAUUAGAUCAUGCAUUACAAAGCAUGACUCUUUUGCAAAUGAUUUCUUUGUAAUAGACUCUUGAAAAAACGACUUUGCUAGAAGCUCAUUAAAACAUGACUCACCUACCUCUUCCAUUCUUUCAUCACUUUGUCCUGCGUGUAAAAGCCCUUCUGCCAUCCAUAAUAGAAUCAGCUUCUCUUUGUCAAAUUCAUAAUCCUUGGGAAAAAUUGAACAGUAAGCAAAACAACGCUUCACAGGAGGAGAAAGAUGCAGAUAACUCAAUCUAAGAGAUGGAAGAAUUUCAUGACCACUCUGGGAAUGCCAUGUUUUGCUAUUCAAAAUAUCUUCCCAUUCUCUUUGCUGGGCCUUAGAGUACAAGAGCGUCCCGAGUGCUUUUAGAGCCAAAGGCAAUCCUUGGCACUUGUCCACAAUCUUUCUGCCUAUGGGUUCAAGCUGAGGGUAAGCGCUGGAAUCUCCAUUUGGAAAUGCAAAUUUUGUAAAUAGGGCCCAACUAUCUUCAGGGCUUAAUUCUCCCAGACGAUGAGUACUGACUGCACCCAUGAGUUUUGCAACAAUUUCAAUACGAGUCGUCACAACAAUCUUGCUUCCCUCUGCUGCAGCGCGGAGUGGAGUUCCUAGUCUAUCCCAACUUUCCCAAUCAAGAGACUUUACGUCCCAGACGUCGUCGAGAACGAGCAGAAGUUUCUUGUUACCUACGCUCUUUUCCAGUUGACGCUGAAGCAAAUUUAUGUUGUCAGAGGAAGGAGGUGUAGAACCGAUUUCCUCGAGAAUUGUUUUGGUGAGGUUGGUAAGAAGAAACUCAGUGGAAACACAGACCCAUGCUUUCAAGUCGAAGUGUUCCUUCUCUGUGGCAUGGUUAUAGAGAUACUGAGAGAGUGUGGUCUUGCCGCUGCCGCCCAUGCCCACUAUGGACAUCACCUCGAUGUUGUUGCCUCUUGCGUUAUCAGAAAGCAACCAGUUCACCAUCUCCUCCUUAAUUUCAUCCCUUCCGUACACAAUGGACGACUCACCCACCAAAGAAGAGGAUGGUAAUCUUGGUGACGGUUUCUCGCCCCCACCUUCUUUCAGCCCAAGCCCAACUUUUUCUUGAGCAAUAGUCUCAAGUUUAGUAAUCAUCUCCUUCAUCCUGGACUCCAUGCUUUGAGUAGCAAAUGGAGCCUUAACCCAAGCAGGGACCUUGUUCCAGUUCCACGCCUGAUGAGUUCCGCCGGUUUGCGAGUCAGCAGCUUCUAUCUCGCACCGCAAAGCGUCGGUAGCGAUCUCGUCCAACAGGUCCUCCGCAUGAUACACAGCAUCCUUAACUUGGACCAGCCACUUUUUGACUUGUGCGUCUGAAAAUUGCUUCAUCUCCGCAUCAUUGAGCACUUUGUGGACAACCACCAAUUUCCUCUCCAACUCCUUGAGGAGGUCAUGGCUGAGAUUCUUUCGCCGAAUGAAAUUUAUGAGUUCCGGAGAAGCCAACCUGUCGAAUAGAACUUGAAGAAAAGCCGAGAGGACUGCGUCCGCCGUUGCAAAAGGAAUUCAGCGAGAUUGAAUACAGGAAAAAAUGAAGGUAAGCGGAAUGCAGAAUCACAGCAGUAAAGAGUAAAGACUGGUGUCUUUUGCCAAGGGCUUGAACUUGAAGGAAUCAUUGAUGGUGGUGGACCCAGAUGCAGACUUUUUUGCCAAACACAAUAAUUGAGUGGUGACCGGUGAGUAAACGAAAGCAAAGGGGAAAGCAAAAGCGCAUAAAAAAGCUGAUGCCAGACUCUGUUGAGUAAGGUGGGUAGUGCCAGCUUUUUAUUUGUUUUUCUUUUUAAUAUACUCAUUUCUUUUUCUACUACUAUUAUUAUUAUUAUAACAGACGAAUAUUUGUUUCAACAUUAAUAUUCCUAAUAUUAUACUUUCAUUUUUUGUAGUAAUAAUGAUUUCAACAUUUGUGUUAAUACUAUUAUUUUUAAUAAUUAUAAAUAGUAUUGCAAUUCUACAAUUACUAUCACUAUAUUUUUAUUGCUUAUAAUUAUUAUUAAUAGAAUUUAUUAAUAUACAUAUAUAUAAAACAUUUUUACAUCAAUUUAAUGGAGUAGGUGGAUGGAUGUUGAUUUGACCAUUUUUACAUAUUGAUUGAUCCAUUGUCUCAAUUCAAUGGUGGGUCGAAAGCAUUUUUAUAUCAAGUUGGUGGAGUAGGUGGAUGAAUAUUGACUGAUAAAUUGUCUCAUGAAUUUCUUUUCUGUUUUUUUGUUAAAAUUUUAUUCCUUGAAAGUUAAAACCAACUUAAAAUGCAUUGUAAAAUAAGUUUCAAGCUAUUAACUUGGAAUUACAAGAAUCAUUUUCAAUAAUUAACAUUUUUAUUUUUAAAAAGUAACUACUAAAAUUAAGAUUUAAUUAUGAUUAUGAAAAUUGUUGCUUUUUACAUUUUUAUAAUGAUACUGUUUUUUACAUAUUAAAUUUUUGGAUUGUAAUGUGACUUUUCUUUAAUUGGGAUGUCUAAAAAAGAAGUAAGAUAAUUAGAAAUCUUAUUUCCAGCACUGUUUGGAGUUCUUACUUUCUAUUGUGAAUUUGAAAAUUAAAUUAAAAAUAUUUUUGAUAAUGUUUCUAUUAUAACGUUAUAUUUAAUUCUCAAAAAAUAUUAAAAAAAAUACAAAAAAAUGAUUUUCUUAUAUUUAAUUAUGAUAUAAAAAAUAUCAAAGAAAAUAAAAUAUAAUUAAAACUAAUUAAAAAUUUAUAUAUUUGUAAAUUAUUUAAUUUUUAUAUAGAUGAGUUAAAAUAAGUUUAAAAUAGUAAAUAAAAAUAAUUUAUUUUUAUUUUCUUUCACUUUUUCUUUUUUUUUUAAUUUUUCUUUCACAUUUUCUUUCAAUUAUUUUGGGAAUCAAACAUAAUUGAAGUGUUUAUAAUAAAAACGCUUUUUCUAAAAAUGAUUUUAAGAGAAUCACAUAUCCAAUGUUAAUUUUUUUAAAAUAUUAUAAGUAAUUUUUUAAUAGUAAAAGUGAUUUUUAAAAUUUUUAAUAAUAUUUUCUUAAUUUUAUCAAAUACUUCACCUUUUUUUUUUUUAAGUAGAAGCACUUUUUUAAAUUAUUGUUAAACUAAUUCUAACAAUAUUGAAACCACCAAAACAUACUAUUUAAAAAUCAUAAUAAAUAUUAGGUGAAUGAUUCAAGUAGGCAUGGAUUUUCCUUUAUUUUAUUUUAUUUUAUUUUUUGUAACCAGGAGUGUUGGAUUAAACUUGAUAUUAACACCAAAGGCCUCAUUUUUGGAAUUUAAUUAACAAAAAAUUCCUUUUCAAGUUGAUAUUAAUAUAAAUAAUUUUAUGGAGUCCAGUUUUCUGCAAACAUACUUCUUUCAUUGAAUCAAUUUUGGUGGGUGGUGGAAUUUUUUUUUCUUUUAUUAUUAUCAAUUUGGUGGAGUCGGUGGGUAGAUUGGUGGAAUCGGAUACUGCCAAAAAAGCAAAAGCAUCCAUAGGAUGAUGCCUACCAUUCCUUCUUUUCCACUUUUAUUUUUUGAAAUUUUAAUCCUUUCACUGAAUUUGACAACCAUCUUAAAAUAAUUAUUCGGAGCUGAUUUAAAAUAAUAAGGAUCAUUUUUAAUAAUUUUUUUUAAGAAAAAAUAAUUAUUGUCUUACACUCUAUUUGAUAAUAAUUUCAAAAAAUAUUUUUAAUUUUAAAAAUUAGAUAUUUAUUAAAAUAUAAAAUAUAAAAAUCUAUUUAUAAUAUUAAAAAAAUCACUUAUUAUGUUUCCUAAAAUAACACUCGAGUUCAUGGCUGAGAUUUUGUACCGGAUGAAGUUGAUGACCUCCGGAGAAACCAACCAGUCGAAUAGAACUUGAACUUGAAGGGAAGCCGAGAGGAGUGCGUUCGCCGUACCUGUUGACUGCAAUUCUGGAGGCUGGUCUCUAUUGCCAAAAUGCACAAGCUUGGAGGAAUGAUUGAUGGUGAUGGACCCAGAUGCUGACUUUUUGGCCAAACACCAUAAUUGAGUGGUUAUUAAAAGAAAGCAAAGGGGAACCAAAGGCCAAAAAAGCUGUGGUGGACCCAGAUGCUGACUUUUUUGCCAGACACCAUUGCCUUGUGACUUGUUAGUAAAACAGAGCAAAGGGAAAAGCAAAAGCAGAAAAAGCAAUUUUUUUUCUCUAAAAUAUCUAUUGGAGUGUCCCACAUUUCUAGUCGGAAUAUAUAAUUUUUUUAAUAAAAAAAUUAUUCUAUAGAUUAUUUUCUAAAUUCAUGUACAAAUGUAAUUAGAUUUUUUAUAAAAUAAAAAGACAGUAGAUUAACCAAUGACAACCACAUACAAUUUAAUAAUUAAUUAAUUAAUUAACUAAUAUUAGGUUAAUUCAGACUCAAAUUAUUUGACCAUCAUAGUCAUGAGAGCCUAAAAGAGAAGCUAACAGCAAAGAGGAUGCAUACAAUAAAACCAAAAUUAUGUGGUAUUCCCAUCAAGCAUAUCCUCCAUCACUUCUAAAAAGCAUUAAAAUUUUUGAGAUUCGGAUAGGAUUCAAGCAACUUGCAAAGAAAUUUCCCAUAUGAAGUUGGUAAUUAUUAGGAAGAGAAAAUUUAUAAUGGAAGAAGGAUUGGAUUGGAAGUAAUUGUUUGAAGUCGUCAACAUCAUGACAAAGUUGUUGGUAACUGUGAGGCUGAGAGAUUAUUGUGGGCUCUCCUCCACAUGCCUGCCCAUGUGUCGGACCACGUGUCGCACACCCUCAGCCUUGUCUGAAUAGAUGUCAUAGUGACCAUUCUAUUCGGACCACACCUGCACCCCACCUAAGUGGGCAACAUCCCCCAACCAGACUCUGUGUCCUCUUUGCUAUAUAUAAUUAUUUUCAUCUAACAUAGGAAUGACUAAUGCGAUCUUCUUCAACCUUACGUCCAUGUUAGUGGAUUCUCACACAUUGUCCCACAUCUUCAGCAAGUUGAAACGACGGGCAGCUGCAUCAUGACAUAUUGGCUGACGACACUUGCCAACCGCUCUAAAUAAUGAUGAUUGUAAUGGGCAACCAUCAUUAUAGGAAAAGUCAAAGUGCCAACUUAGUACAAUAGUGACUCCCUCCUAAAGACUAUAAAAACCCUCCUAAAGACUAUAAAAACCCUCCUAAAGAUUCCCCCAUUUUCUCUCCUCUCUAAAGGUUCCUAUCUACCUGUGCCUGAUUUAAGCUUUGAAGGGACGUACUUGAACAACUUGUCCGAACAUCCUUUAUGCAGGGAAGAAGCUUGUCAAGAUUCCAAUUUAGCAGAAGCUCUCAAUGGCACAACAAGGGGAGAAUCCAUCUCUAGUUGACUUCGCAUCAACAAUUAUUAUUUGAAACAUCAUAUUAAAUAUCAACCUCUUAUUCAUCAAAAGAUUGGCAACAAGAAAAUUUGGCCUAACUAGUAGAUAGGUUUAAUCGCAUGGUCCAAACUAAGAUUGAAAUAAGAAUGCAAGCUUUGUGUCCACAACAUGCUUUCAUAUUGCUGAUAUACAAAACCACCGGGUGGUUUUCUAAGUUUUGAAUAUUCCAAAAGCUUGAUAGACUUUUGGAGUUGCCAAAAUUUCUAUAUAGAUAGAGUUCACAACUGUUUUGAAUUUUCAAAACACCUAAAAAAGAGACCUUUUGCAACAAGUACUUGCCAAUUUUUCAAUACUUGUAAAAGUGAGAACAUGGACUGGUGAAUCGUGUUACAUCAACUGGAAGAGAAGAUGACCAUCUUGGUGCUUACCUACCAUCUUGAAAUUUGUAACCAUAGUGUAGCAACCUGAGUUUUGGGUCAAAAUGGCCCAUUUACACAAAUAUAUAUAUAUAUAUAUAUAUAUAUAUAUAUAUAUAUAUAUAUAUAUAUAUAUAUAUAUAUAUAUAUAUAUAUAUAUACAUAUAACCAUUUUAUGAAACUUAUAUUCAAAUUAGCCUAUUUGAUGUCACGUAGGAGUCGUGUUAUAAAAAUAUAUAUAUUUUUUCAUAAUUUUAGUUAAAGUCUCAAUUGACAAUUUAUGCUUUAUUUUUAAAUUGAAGUCGCAAUUGCUAGUUGAGGUUUCAUUUUUUAACUGAAGCCUCAAUUGAUAACUGAGACUUUAUUUUUUAACUAAAACCUCAACUACCAACUGAGGUUUCAAUGAUUUUUUUUAUUUAAAAUUAAUUAAAAACUAUUAAAUUAUAAUUCAUUAAUUAAAUUAAAAAUAUAUACUUUAAUAAUAAAUUAGUCGUCAACCCAUCAUCUCAUCAGUGUCAACAUCAUUACAACCCCCUACCUUUUUAUCUCUAUAAUUAGUACAGUCACCCAUAUCUUCAGAUCUACCAUCAGUGCAAUCCCUUACCUCUUCACACUCAUCACCAAUGCAACCCCUUACCUCUUCAAACUCAUCAUUAGCAUAACCCCCUAUUUUUUAAAACUUAUUUUCAAUUUAGCUCCUUACCUUUUCAUACCCACCAUUAGCACAACCCCCUACCUCUUCUGACCCACUAUCAGUAUAACCUCUAACCUCGUUAGACCUACCUCCAUUACAACCUCCUACCUCUUCAGACUCACUAUCAGUGUAGCCCCCUACCUAUUCAGACUCAUUAUUAGUACAACCACAUACUUCUUCAGACCCAUUUUUAGUGUCUGCUAACCCAUAUGUCGAUCCCCUUUCAUUGCACCUAGAUGUUUCCUUAGCUACUUCACUAGGACCUGAGUUUAGGACAUUAGUUCUACUAUCACCGGAGUCAUUUAUAUUUGAUUCUAUACCUAUGCGAUUGACACAUCUACUCAGUUAGAUUUAUCCCCAACCAUUUUGAAAGGUAGGUGUGACCUACAUUGACUUAGAUUGCUACCUCCACCACCACCUCUAUUCCAACUCUAGCUUCAACACAAAUAGAUGUUCUUCAUAUGUCAAAUGUAGUAUCUACUACAGUUAGAAAAGAGCAACCAAAACAGAAGAGAGUACCAAUUACAUAUGAGUUAUCUCCUUGUGGAGACAUGUGAGAUUAUAUAUGUUUUUUUUUCCCACUAUAUAAAUGUUUAAUGGGUAUUUUUUUGUGACUUUGAUGAAACUACUAAAAAUUAUAUUUUGUAGUAGACUUUUUCUAAUUAAUUUCAUUAACUAAUUUUAUCAAAAAAUCUAUAUAUGUCAACUUAAGGGUGUACUAUUAUUUUAAUAAAGAUAAAUUUGUCAUAAUACAAAUAAAUUAUUAUCUUAAAUUAAUAAAUUAUAUAAUUUUAUAUCUUAUUUAUAUGUUAUAUAAAAUUAUUAUUUUAAGAUUAUUAAUUUAUUAAUAAAUAAAAUAUUCAUUUAUAAUGUCUUCUAUUUAUCAAUUUAUAUUUGUUAAAGUAAUACUAGAUUCUAAGUUUAAAUAUAAAUAAUUUAUUAUGAAAGUAUAUAUUUUUAAUUUCAAUAAUAAAUUGUAAUUUAAUAGUUUUUAAUUAAAUUUUAAUUUUUUUUUAAAAAUUAACUAGCCUUAGUUAACAAUUGAAACUUUAAUUUAAAACUGAAACCUCAGUUGACAAUUGAAGUUUUAACUAAAAUGAUGAAAAAAAAAAAUUUUAUGACAUGACUCUUAUGUGGCAUCAAAGAGACCAAUUUGAAUAUAUAUAUAUAUAUAUAUAUAUAUAUAUAUAUAUAGAUAUAUAGAUAUUAUAAAUGGGCCAUUUUGAACCAAAACUCGUAGCAACCUUGUUUGUACCAUUAGAACAAGAAAAUGAGACCAUACUAACAAAGAAAACACUAUAAGAACAAACAUAUGUUCAACUAAAGUUCAUGAUAUAUAGAACUUCCGAGAUAACACAGAUUGAACUAAAGGGGAAAGGACAAGGGGGCACAGGAACUUCAACAACUCUUUCAAGCAUCAGUAUUACCAUUCCCAUGUAGGGCCUCAAAGAAGGGUCCUCUUGGAUGCACCAAAGGGCAACCAUCACCAUCCACUCCAUCAUCGCCAUCUCAUUUCUUGUUUCAUCAUCAUUCUUCACUAGCUUAUCCAAUCUGUGCCCUCUAUAGCAAUCAUAAGCUCAAUCAGUUAGUAUUACUUCCUCGUCAUUUUCCGGCUGUGAAUGUUGAAAAGCACAGAAAUGGAAACAAGGACACAUAAUUUGCAUUUGAAACUGAGGGCAGUUUCAAUAGUCUGAACUAAAGGGGAAAGUACAUGGAGGCGCAGAAACAUCAACCAUGCCUUCAAGCAUCAGUUUGACAAUUCUCAUGGAAGGCCUUAAUGAAGGGUCCUCUUGAAUACACCAAAUUGCUACCACCACUAACCUCUCCAGCCCUCUGUAGACCCUCAAUUUUGUUCCUUUAGCACAUGUCUUUAAAUUCGUUUUCAAUGCUCCACAAUAGUUCCUUGGUGGCCCAUGGCUACUCAUACCACUUACCUUUUUCUAAGUCACCUCGGAGAUUUUGGUUGAGGGAUUAUUUGAUCCUUUAUUGUGACCCUUGGCAGCCCUAACUUAGACUUAGGCUUUUCUUGUUUUUUUAGGAUAGCUUUUAGAUACACUUGGCCCAUUAGGCACUACCCUAGGCCCACUUAGUCUCACCUUAGGCCCGUUUAGGCACACUAGGCCUACGAAGACUUUUAUUUUAUUUUAUUUUAUUUUAUUUAUUUAUUUAUUUAUUUUGUUUUUAAUUUUAAUUUUAUGAUUAUCAUUCACUUUUUAUUGGUUAUCUUCCUCUUUAUAUUAUUUUCCUUAACUUAUUUAUUUAUUUAUUAUUUUUACCAUUUUUUAAUUUAUUUACUUAUUUAUCUAUUCAUGCAAUUAUUUAACUUCAAAAAUUUCAUGUUUUUGCAAGGAAACUUACCAUUGGAGUUUAAGGAAGACGGGACUCUCCUUGGAAGGUUUUGGAGGGGAAGUUGAAAUUGGGAAGAUUGCUUUUGAUUGGAGGAUUUAAAAAAAGAAGAGAAGAAGAAAGGAAGGGGGAGAAUUUUCCUUUUUGGAAACAAAUUUAGGUCUUGAGGGGUGAUAUAUAUAGGUGAGAAAAGGAAAAGAAUAGAGAGAUUUUUCUUGGGGGGCAGAGCACACGGAAUUUUGGAAAAAAGCAAGGGACUUCGAACGGAGAUCGGGCUGUCAUUUAAUCAUCAAGAGAGGAUUUUCUCUUUCACUUCAAAGGUUAGUUUUCUAUAUAGUACUUUUAUUUAGCCUAGAUUUUUUUUUUUUUUUUUUUUGGAAAUUUUAGUUUUUGAUUAAUUCUUUGUGUUAAAGUUUAUAUUAUUUUCUUUUUAAAUCCCCAAUUAGUUUAAUUCUAAUCUAUCUUUUAGUUUAAGUUUGUUAAUGAUUUUAAUUCUUAAGUUUAAAUAAUCAUAUUGAAUAAAGUUUGUAUUUUUAAUCCCAAUUAGUUUGAUUUCAAUUCGUUUUUAAUUUAAAUGCAUUAGUUGAUCUUAAUUCUUUGUUUUAAAUAAUCACGUUAAAUAAAGUUUGUAUUUUUAAUCCCAAUUAAUUUGAUUUCAAUUCGUUUUUUAGUUUAAAUGUAUUUUGUUGAUCUUAAUUCUUUAGUUUAAAUAAUCAUAUCGAAUAAAGUUUGUAUUUUUAAUCCCAAUUAGUUUGAUUUUAAUUUGUUUUUUAGUUUAAAUGUAUUUUGUUGAUCUUAAUUCUUGACUUUAAAUAAUCACGUUAAAUAAAGUUUAUGUUUUUAAUCUCAAUUAGUUUGAUUCCAAUUCGUUUUUAGUUUAAAUACAUUUUAUUGAUCUUAAUUCUUAAGUUUAAAUAAUCAUAUCGAAUAAAGUUUGUAUUUUUAAUCCCAAUUAGUUUGAUUUUAACUUGUUUUUUAGUUUAAAUGUAUUUUGUUGAUUUUAAUUCUUAAGUUUAAAUAAUUGUAUUGAAUAAAGUUUGUAUUUUUAAUCCCAAUUAGUUUGAUUUCAAUUCAUUUUUAAUUUAAAUGCAUUAGUUGAUCUUAAUUCUUUGUUUUAAAUAAUCACGUUAAAUAAAGCUUGUAUUUUUAAUCCCAAUUAAUUUGAUUUCAAUUCGUUUUUUAGUUUAAAUAUAUUUUGUUGAUCUUAAUUCUUGACUUUUAAUAAUCACGUUAAAUAAAGUUUGUGUUUUUAAUCUCAAUUAGUUUGAUUUCAAUUCGUUUUUAGUUUAAAUACAUUUUGUUGAUCUUAAUUCUUAAGUUUAAAUAAUCAUAUCGAAUAAAUUUUGUAUUUUUAAUCCCAAUUAAUUUGAUUUUAAUUUGUUUUUAGUUUAAAUGUAUUUUGUUGAUUUUAAUUCUUUACUUUAAAUAAUCACGUUAAAUAAAGUUUGUGUUUUUAAUCUCAAUUAGUUUGAUUUCAAUUCGUUUUUAGUUUAAAUGCAUUAGUUGAUCUUAAUUCUUAAGUUUAAAUAAUUAUGUUAGAUAAAGUUCAUGUUUUUAAUCCCAAAAUAGUUUAUUUUUAAUUUAUUUGUUAGUUUAAAUAUGUAUGUGAUUUUAAUUUAUUAGUUUAAAUAAUCAUGUUAGAUAAAGUUUAUAUUUUUUUUUAAUUCUAAAUUAGUUCAGUUUUAACCUAUCUUUUAGUUUAAGUAUAUUUGUGAUUUUAAUUCAUUAGUUUAAAUAAUCUUGUUAGAUAAAGUUCAUAUUUGAAAUUCCGAUUUAGUUUAGCUUUUAUUUAUUUUUAAUUUGGAUGUGUUUGUAAUUGUAAUUUAGUAGUUUAAUUAAUCUUAUUAAAUAAAGUUCAUGUUUUUAAUUACAAUUUAAUUUAGUUUUAAUUUGUUCUUCACUUGUAUGUGUUUGUGAUUUGAAUACAUUAGUUUAAUUAAUCCCGUUAGAUAAAGUUUAAUCUUGAUUUAAUUUAUUUUUUUAGUCUAGAGGCAUUUAUGUGUUUAGUUAAUCUUAUGUUAAUUAUGGAUUGUUAUUCUCAAUUUAUGCGCUUCUUGAAUCCUUGUUGCUAAUUCUUGAUGGAUAUUUCAUUAGCUUAUUUGAUCUAAAUAUUAAUAAUUUAUUGCUUUGAUAGUUUCCUUUUUGUUCAAAGGCCAUUGGAAAAUCAUGAAGAUUGGCCUCUACCAUCACCAUUAUCAUUUUUGUUAAUUAUUAAAAAAAUUUUACUUUGAGGUUUCAUUUUUGUUUUGUUGGGUAUUUUAUUUCUUAUAUUUUAUUUUUUCCAAAUUAAUUCCUUUUAUUUUAAAAUAAAAUACUUUUCUCAAAAAAAUCAUUUUAAAAAUCUAUUUCAAAAACUCAUUUAGAGUCCUCAGGAUCAAAAUCUCUUUUUUUUUUUUUUUAUUAUUUAAAAAUAAUAUGAAACCAUAUCUUGUUCGGUUUGCAUCAUUCUCGGUUUUUAACAAAAAUUUUGGUUUUGAACAAAGACACGAAUCAAAGCUUGUGGUCCCACAUAAAUGGGAUAAUUCUGAGCUAAAUUCGUGUAUAUCAAUUGGGGAAUUGGUGAAACCCCUACAUAAGAAAAUCUUUUCAAAAAUUAUUUUUGUUGCCAUUUUUGUCACUUGUUGAAAUUAUGUCUAUCUUUUUUAGGAAUUGUAUAUAAGAUGUGUGUGAUAAUUAAUGUUUUCAUAUACUUUGAUAAUUUUUGUUAUGCCAAUUAGAUAACAAGCAUGCUAGGGUUUCUUUAUUUUAUUAUUAUCUAAUCCCUCAUGUCUUAUGGGAGCGCAUUGUAAGUUAUUUAUGCUAUCCAGGUACGCCCCCCCCUAUCGCCUACUUUCUAAAUUUUGUAAACAAUCGUGUCACUAUGAAGUAUGCAUAUGUUUGAUAAUCCUUAGGUGUUUAGAUGUGUGUUAUACUUCUAUACUAACUCUGAUGUUUUAUGAUAGCGCUUGAGAAGCGGUCCGGGUACGCAUCCUAACCUUUCUUUUAUGGCAAUUUGAUCUUGUUUAGCAUGCAAAUCUUUUGAAAUCACCUAGCCUACUUAGUAUCCAUAAUUAACCGAUUAAUUGCCAUAUUCCCCUUAACUUAAUUAGUAGAGACCUCUUUAGGGCUUAGAGGGGUGCUACCUCCUAGAGGUACCUUCCCAAUAAGUAACCUGAUCCCCGGACCAAGACUUGGGUUUUCGAAGACACGCUUUUCCAAAAAUUAUGGAGUCAUUUUUUUAGGGUUUUAUUUCUUGUUUUAUUUUCCCUUCAAAAAUAAAAAUAAAAUAAGUGGCGACUCCAACUUUUUUUAAAAUUAAUUUUUCACAAUAAAAAGUGAGUCUCGCCGAUCGAGUGGGGACGCACGUGAAAAAUGCGGGUCCACACCCUCCUCAUGUCAGUUCUUGCCUCAUCAUCAGUCUCCACAAGCAUAUCCGAUUGGUGACCUCUAUAGCAAUCAUAAGCCAAUCAGGAAGGAUGGCUUCCUCUUCAUCUUCUGUUUGGAAAUCAAUGCACCUCCUGCAACAAAUGAUUUCCAGUAACAUGACCCCCAUAACUAUAAGCGUCUAUUUUUGCUGUAAUUGACUUGCUCUUGAACCAUUCUGACACAAGUCCCUCUGAUGGUUAUAAGUGCCUGAGUUUCAUCACUCAUCACAAGUUUUGUCAAUCCAAAAUCGGAAAUCCUUGCUGUGAAUGAAUCAUCCGGAGGACAUUUUGAGGCAUGAUGUCACAGAGGAUGAUCUGUGUGCUACACUCCUGAUGCAAGUACAUCAGCUCUCUUGCAAUCUCAAAUCCCAUUCGAAAGUGGAUAUUUCUUCUUCCAGAAGGUUUCUUCUUUAAUUUAAAGACAGCAACCACACAAUUGUAGUCAUAUACAUAAGAUAUCCAGCAGAGGUCUUCACCUAAGCAUUCUAUCUUCUCAAAGUUUGCAGUGGCAGUCCAAACUAUGUUAAGACUUCUCUUGUAAGUUCUCUGGGUUUGAACCUUCUCCUUGUUCACCUUUUUGUACCAUCUUCAGCUUGCAGCCAUUGGGCUUGUUGUAUGGAUCAACAAGGGAAAACCCAAAAAGACACUCACAAAUUAGUCUUCCUUUUGAGUCAGGUAUGCAGUAACUGUUAAUUAAAGCCACAACUCUCAGUCUCCCACCUCCCAAAUCUACCUGAAUCUCAGAGCAAAUGUCCUUUGGGUGUAUUAGGACUGAACCCAGCUUCUCUUUCUCUGGAGCUUGGGCGAGUAUAUUUUCUGAAAACUCCAUCAAAAUCCAGCAUUUCCCAGUAGUAGUAAUCUCUGGUUGAAUCUGCACUUCCUGACAUGAGGAUAGCACUCCCUCUGUUUCGUAGAACAACAUGAAGGUGAUCCGAAUCAUCAAAAAUCAUCCAUUCAUCAGAAUUGCUGCCAUUUCCAGAUUAAAGGUGUUAAGGACAAAAUUUCCAUCAGGCAGCAAAAGAGGCUGGAACCUUCCCUUUGAGUAGUUGCCUUCAUCUUACUGAGAAGACGCAAUGCCACCACUUUCUAAUAUUUUAGUUGGCAAGAUGGUAUCAAGCAUGGCGGCGUAAACAACCCCAUUAACACCAGACCCAGCUUUCCAUAUGACUUGGUCCUGACCAUCAAGUGUUAACUGACCAUCAAUCAUAAGCUCUACUUCAUAUUCCAAUUUUUUUUCCAGGGAUUUUGUCAACCAGAUAGUUAGCCUGCUCGUGGACGAAAUCCAAAAGCCAAGACCCUGAUGGCAAUUUCCAUGAAAAUGAGCAAUCAGAAGCCAGAAGAGACAAUCCUAAACUAGUAUUAUACUUGGUUUCAGCUACAGCAAGAAAUGGUAGAACAAAGAGAAGCAAGAGGCAUCCAUGGCCAACAACAGGAAAAUCCAUGUUGGUAUAGAGAAUUUGGAGAACUUGUUCAAAUUAUACCACACUUUUUAAGACGAAAAGAAGGUUGAUUGCAGAGACCCUAUGAUCAGAUUUGAAGAGUACACCAAUGGAAAGUUACUGAAUCCAUUAUCAAGCUAAUUACCUAUCAAUAUCUAAGGCUUGAUUUUCCAUUUUUAGUAGAAAAAAACUGUUCUGAGACAGUCAUAGAAGUCAAUAGUUUUCUUAUUGACGGAAAACAAAAAAUUAAAGAUAUGCCAUAAAUUCUUGUUUGGAACUCAAUCUUGAAAAAAAGUAUGUGGUUUAUUCCUUGUAAAGGAGUUCUAGUCUCUUGCAUAAAUCAACGUUUUGGUCUUCCAGGUGGAUCAUAUUUUUUGAUAUCUAGAAUCCACCAAGGUAUGUAGUAAGGCAUUUAUCCUAAUAGGUUGAUCCCUUACAAACAAAAAAGUGGCUCUUGACAGAAAAUGAUUAGGAAGGCAUGCAAGUAACAAAUACAAAUUAAAUAUAAUGUAAGAUUUUCAUGGAUUAAAAAAAAUACAUGGCAAAAUAGUAUAUAUUAUUUCAACCAGGGAACAUAUGUGAAUGUUGUAUUUUUUGAUAUCUAGAAUCCACCAAGGUAUGUAGUAAGGUAUUUAUCCUAAUUGGGGUUGAAACAAACCUGAAUGAUAUAAAUCCACCCCUCUAUCUUACAUCACUUCAAUACCGAAGAUACUCAGAACUCAGAACCUCGCUAAGUUAGAAGCAUAUGUAAAAGUUGUAUUCUAUUCCAUAAGGGAAACACUCUAUACUCAGUAGCAUAAACAAGCCCCGAAAGCCACUUAUCUCUUUUUUUUUUUUUUGGCCUUUUUACUUAUUCUCAUCUCUCAUGACCAGAAGUGCUAAGGAUGAUAUAACCUCAUCAAAUAAGUUAGAAACCAGCCCAUCUAGCAGGUUCAGUAGCUGACCUGCUCUCAAUCUUCUUUGAGUCACCAAUAAGCUGGGCAUUAUGCCUCCAACAGUGGGUCUGGAAAUAUUAGAGCUGGCAGCAGGGGUGGCUGUAAAACUCUCCUUUCCAAAACACCAAGUUUCAGGCCCAGAAGUUGCUUCUGUGGCUGGUUUGUUGUGAUGACCAUUUUCUGGUCCUAAACACUAUCCUUAUCCCUGGAAAGAGGCUGCUGCUGUUUGGGCUCAUCACCAAAAGCCUGCCAUAGCUUAGAGUCUGGUAAGGGGAAUCGGAUUUUCUGUGCUGGAGUUUCCAGACUGUUGCUUCAAUCUUUUCUCUCUGCUGUUAUGAGAAGAGAAAAUAUCAGGAAAAUGAAUCGAUGGAAGAAAUUGUUUUAAAUCCAAUAGGCAUGUGUGAGAAUAGGAGAUGAUACUGGAGGAGUAGCAGUUGACUGAAGUCCAGUUGAGGUUCAGUUUUUCAAAGCAUCACUGUGGGGUGAUGGAGUUCAAGCAGCAAGAGCUUGCUUGAGUUCCUGUAUCUUCUUCAAUGCCCAUUUAUUCAGGCUUCUUCAAGUGGCUUAUGAUUGGUGGAGGUGCUUCCAUAAUCCAUCAGGGUCCAAUGGAAGAUUCUCAGCUUUUAAGUCUCUGAAUCAUACAAUUAAGAAAAAUGAAGAAUGUCGAAUAAGACAAUACAAAUUUGUGGGCAGGACCGAAAAAUGAAGGAAUAGUGGGAAUAUCUAUUAAGAGCAUAAUAAAUGACAAAACUACCAUAUGACAACACAGCAAAAAAUUCAUAAACAGCCCUGAACAAACAAUAAAUUCUCAUUUUUUGAAUAGAGAAGAACCAUUAAAAUGUGCAGGAAAUGUUUUAAAGUAAAAUCUAUUAAAAACUUUCACUAAGACUUGGACUCUUUAACUUUCUUUUCAAAUAAUCUGAAAACCCCUGCUGAGAAAGAAUAAUGAGAACCAACUACUAUGGUUGCCGAUAGAAGGGUAGGGAUGGCAAUGAGAAUUCUGCUUGUGAGAAGAUAGAAAAAGAAGAUCGUCACUUCCUGGACCAUAACUAUAGUCCAAAAUGGGAUCCAUGACAUUGAUCUCAAUGAUCAUCUCCACCACAGUAGAAAAUAUACAGAAAUUCCUAGUCAAAGUCAAGACCUAAGGAAAGCCAAAACAAGAACAAAACAUUGCCAAAAUUGAAACAAAAACAAGAGUGCAUCAACUUCCAAACAAAGAUUUUUGUCUAUCUGCCUACCAUUUGAAGGUUGUCCACUUGGUUAGUGCAAAAUAGACUAGCUUUUGUUACAGAGACUGCCAAUCAAUGCAGAUUGCUAAACCAAAAGAGAGUUCAAACAACCAAGCAACCAAACAGUUUUCAAAAUGAUUAUUGUUGUUUACCUCACAUGUUUUUCUAUAGUCAUAACCACACUUUGUUUCUCAUAAGAAGUCUUCUAUGUUAAUCCUGGUUGCUUAUUACAAUAUACAAAAAGGAAAAGAAAAAAAACAAAAAGUAGUGAUUGAUUUAGUUUGAUAUUGAAAUGAACAGAGUCACAACAUGAACAUACACAAGUAUGAUAUCCUAAAAACAAUUUGCAAAAAUCCCUAACUAUUUAUCCAUAUAUUAUGCAAAUAUUAUUUACACACUUUACUUUAAUUCCAAGCAUAUUUCAAAAACCAUAAAUUACCUAAAAUGUAUCAACAAAUAGAGUUUGCUGCAUGCCCAAAUUCCCCACAAUAGGACUAGAAAAUUAUUUCUGUAGAAACAAAUUGAGAAGAUUGUGAGAUUUGGAUUGCAAAAGGAGGUCAAGACCUUUUCAAUGUAGAAGGUUUAAGUAAUUUUGUCUAUUAAACAGUGAGAUGUUUUUAGGCCAUUGAGAACAUGAACCAAAAUAAAGAAAACCUUUUUGCUUUAGUGAAAAAUAAGACAUUGAAAUGAUAUGCAAUCAUAAAUCUUGCAAUUUUGUAUAUUGCAGAUUUAAUUCUCCACUUCUAUUACACUGGAAAGAGAAUAGCAGCAAGAAAAGACCAAAGCAAUUAAAAUUACUUACUGCCAAAGCACAAUACGUCCCUGGUUUCCUCCAUGCCUGUAUAAGAGAAAAUAGACCAAGAAAGUGAGAAAAAACCGAAGCAUCCAUGGUUUUCCAUAGUUUUCAAGUGGUUCACUUGGCUUAGGCACACCACCAAAUAAAAACAGCGCAUGAAAAUGAGAGUACCAUUAGAAUAUGACAACUAUCUGUAUCAAAAUGUGAGCACUUUGGUUCAAUCCUCCUCCACUCCUCUUCAAUAUUUGUUUCAGACUUGAAGCCUCGAAGAAAAAAGAAAUCUCUAGCACACCUGCCACCAUUAAAAAAGUCAGCCUUGGAAAACAGACAUAAAAUUCCUCACCUAAUGUUGACAUGGACUCAAACUAUCUAAAGCUAACCUAAAUUCAUGGAGAUCAAUGGCCAAUCAAGCAAAGCACAUGCCUGUGUGAUGUUUGGUUGAUCAUCUGGAGAAGCUUGGAUCAUGUCCAUCAUUAGAUCUGUCACAUAGGAGCUGCAUGUUGGUAAUUGUCGAAUGAGGAAGUUUCCAUUUGAGAUAAUAGAUGGUGAGAAAUAUAUAGUCAGAAAAAUAAUAAAGCACAUAACCUGAUAUUCUAUUGAUUGAUUCACCCAUUCACAAAUCAUUAGAAAGACUGGAAAUAUAGAAGAGCAAAUUUUCUAAUUCAAGGAGAUGGUGAAUAAUCUUAGAAUCAUCAUUUCUAUACAAAAUCAGGAAGUUCAAUGAGGAAAUUGCACUCAACCACUUUUAAGAUAAGAACAUCGAAAUGGAAAACAAAGCUUCAAAAAAGUCUUAAAGUCUAGAACAAUUUAAUUGAAAUAUUCUUCUCAGGAGUUUCACAGUAUAAACCUCCAUUAAGACCUGGACUCUUUAAUUUUCUUUUCAAAGAAACAGAUGACUUGGAUAAACAAUGAGAACCAAUGCCCAUGGUCACUUACACAAGUGUAUGCAUGACCAUGACAAUUCUUCUAAUGAGAAGCUAGCACAAGAAGACUGCCACCUCAAGGAUCCAUGUCAAUGACCUCGAUGAUCAUCUGCAGGGCAACAAAAAAUAUACAGAAAUUCCAACUCAUAGUCAAGAUCUAAGAAAUUCCAAAAGAAGAACAAAACCACGUCAAAAUUGUGACAAAAACAAAUUCAGCAGCUACCUAACAAAAAUUUAUGUCUUUCUAGCUACUAACCUCUUGAAGUUGGUCCACUUGGUUACUGCAAAAUAAACAGCCUUUCGUAAUAAGGACUCCAAAUAAGCUAAGGCUAUUAAACCAAAAGAGUGUUUAAACAAAUAAAAAAUUGACCAAUUCAGUGCCAUAAAAUACUUCAUAUAAAAUUAUUGCUUUAGAAAUUGCAACUUUCUAAAUGAUCCUAGAUUUAAAUAUACAUUAGCAUAAAAUUGCAGUUGUUUACCUCACAUGUUUUUCUAUUGUCAUAAUCGAACUUUGUUCCUCAUAAGAAGGCAUUUAUGUUCAUCUUGGUUACUUAAUAUGGAACAUGUAUAGAAAAGAAAAAGAAAAACAAAAAGUUAGUGAUUAAUUUAGUUUGAUAUUGACUGGAGAAAAGUCACAAAAUAUGCAUAUGCAAGUAUAUUAUCCUCAAAACCACUGGCAAAAGGCACCAAGUACCCAACUAAGAACAUACUCGAUUAAACAUGAAUUACCUAAAAAUGUAUCCACAUGUUCCUGUGCAUGUGCAACAUAAAUACCCAGAUGGUUAGUAUCAUUUUUGCCCAUUCCGAAAGGUAAAUUGAAGAAGUCAAGGAAAUAAGAAAAUGGGCUUUGUUAAAAUACAAAUUACCUGGGAUCAAUCUUCCUUUCCCUUUUUUUUUUUUUUUCUUCCUCUGCUGGAGAACUUCUGAAAUCAAACAAAUAGAGUUUGUUGCCUGCCCAAAUCUUCAACAACCGGACCAGCCAAUAACUUGUGUAGAUGUACAAUUCUUCAAGAGUGUCAAACAGAUUAAAAGCCUUUGAAUGCAAAAAGGAGGUCAAGACAUUAACAAUGUAGAAGAUUUAAAUAGUUCUGGUAUCAAACAUAAUAAAAUUGAUUAAACAAAACCUUAAACAAUGAGGUAUUUUCUUCUAAACAGGAUGAGCUCCAUCAUUGUGUGAGCUAUUGAGAAUAUAAAAAAUAACGGAAUCAUAAGCAAUUAAAAUUACUUACUAAUAAGCAGCGAACUAGAAUGCAUCCAUGGUUUCCUCCAUGCCUGUAUAAGAGAAAUGGAAAAAGAAAGUGAGGAAAAACCAAGGCAUCCAUGUUUUUCCACAGUAAAUAAAAUUUGUGUUCACUUGGGUUAUGCAUACUGCCAAAUAAAAACAGAGCAUGAAAAUGUGAGUUCCAUUAAAAUAUGGGAAUUGUUUGUGUCAAAAUGUGAGCACCUAGGUUGAAUCCUCAUCUACAACUCCUCAAUAUUCGUCCCAGACUUGAAGCUUCAAGGAGACGAAAUUCUUAAAUCAAAUAAAUGGAGCCAAUGAAUCAUGUAGACAUAUUUUUUAGAUUAGAAAUUGGAACAUAAAUUUUCUAAAGAAUAAGUUUAAGCAUAGAACAAUUACCGCCACUUUCAUUAAAAUAGUUCAUUGAUGAUUAUAUUUGGAAUGUGAGAUAUAUAACACCAUUCUGGCCCUUUCUCAAAUUGGCACUGUUGUUUCAGUAAAGGACAUGGGUCCACAAUCAGACAAGAGACGGAGUCCGACAAUCUCUUUCUUGUCAAGUAUUGGAACUCACGGCAGCUGUAGAUAUGCAAGAUUUCAAGAGUGGUGAGGUAGUGAAGACCCGCUUCUGUCAAGGAUUGGAGCCUUGGGCAGUGCUGGAUUUGUAAUUCUUUGAGAGACACAAGGUGUUGAAGAACAGAUCCUGUCAAGGAUUGGAGCUCAGGGCAUUUCCUGAUGUCUAAUUUUACAAGAGAGGUGAGUUGUUGAAGCCCCUUGCUAUCAAGAGACUUGAGAUUUGGAAGACCAUAGAUUGCAAGAAAAGUCAGAGAAGAGGGCAGCAGGCACUCCUUGGGAAAUAAUUCCACGUCUUCACAUCCACCAAAGAUUGUGAAAUGAGUAAGAGAGGCCAGUCUUUGCAAAUCCCAGUCCACCUGGAACGUGAGUUGGUUGCAGAACCAAAUUUGAAGUUCACGUAGGCUGGAAGGCAAACCCUCUUUGUGAAACAACAAUUCUGGACAAUACAUUAAACUCAGUUUCUGCAGAGAUGAAUGGGUGUGCGCCAGCAAUUUGAGCUUGGAGCAGUUGUGAAUUUCAUGGGACACCGAGUCGAGAGCGGGCAGUUGGAUGUAUACAAGAUUAGCGCACCCCUUGAUUUCCAAUUUACGAAGAGAUGUAGGAUCCCCCUCUGAAAUCGAAAUGUAGAGCUUCUCAAGCCCCUUAAGACCAUUGAUUGUGAAAUUAGUCAACCUGGGGGAGAUGUCCAAUAUUGAGAAGGAUAACGGGAGAGAAUUAUCGUAGGUACCGCCAUUGAUCGAUAGAUUUUCAAGGGUAGGGUGAUGACAUCUGAACAACUCAGGUAGAAGAAGGUCCAAUUUGGUACAAUUAGAGAUUAAUAGCGAUUCAAUGUAGUGGGUAAGCCACCUUUGCUUGGGGAUCCGUAAAAAGAGCAAUCACAAAAUUCCAAACUGUACAUGUUGGUUUGCAGGAUUUCCCCCUCUAGUAGAGACUCCACAGAAUCAUACUUUGUAAUGGAGAGAUUGUGGGGUACCACUGGAAGUUGCUUCAACCGAGAGACGUUUGAAAUUUCAAUUUCUGAAGUUUGAAGAGCUGUAAAGCCACAAGUUUGCCUUUUCAACUGCAAUAUGUGUAAAUCCUAAGUUUCAUUAUCCACUCACAACCAUAUAGAUAUUGUUUAUUUUGGGUCUAAUAAGACCUCAUAACUUUAAAAUACGUUUACAUGAUUAUAAACAACUCAUACAUCAGACAAAGGUCAAAAAUUGACUUUCAUACUAUUUCUUACAAUCCAUUCUCUCUUAUAUAAAUAUUAUCUAUUCUGGAUCUAAUGAGCUCUUAUAGUUUUAAAACACACUUAUAUACUUAAAAAAAUUCAUGUACAUAUGGUAUAUAUGAGAAACUUUUAUACCAAUAUGAUGUGAGAUAUCCCACUAAAAGAGUAUUAACAAGUCCAUUAAUAAAACUCAUUUGAAGAAUUAAUGAAUUAUCAUGCAAGUACUAAUAUCAAAUGAUGUAGAACCACAUACAUUCCUAAAAGUUUAAGCUAAUGGGAGGUAGAGAUAGAUCUUAUAUCCUGUUGAUUACUAAUAUUGGUUGGAUUGACCUUAUAUAUAUAUAUAUAUAUAUAUAUAUAUAUAUAUAUAUAUAUAGACACAUACGUAGGAGGAAAGAAAGUUCAAUAUGAGCAAUUUUAUUUACCCAAGUUCUGACUUUGCAAGGAGCCGGGUAAUAAAACUAAAGUGGUCUACAUCCCUAAACUCACUGUUAUGAGUAGUAAGACCAUGAACCCAAUUAGAUGUGAAUAACAUUUUCUAUCGAGAGAUGACAUAUACCCAUGUAUGCCUCCACCCCACUCAUUAAAACCCCCCAGCAUGCAUACCGUGUGCAUGCAGUGUGCCAUCCAUGGAUAGAUCCUGUCCUUUUGGAGGAACACACAAUGACCAGCCCUGUAAUUGGAAUUUUGUCAAUCAAUACAGCACCUUCAGGACCAUGACCACAUGGCAUGACAGCAAGAAAUAGCUAGCCCUACAAACUAAAGGACCCACGAAAUGGACCAUCUAAUAACAAAAUACCAAGUCUAGCUACCCAGAAGAUGUGGUUGUCUUCCUUGUUUCUUUUGGUGGAAAUCAGAAUAAACCAGAUCACCAAACUUGUGGGCAGCCUGACUUUCAUAUAUAUACUCUGACCAUUCAGUUUGGUUUCUCCAAUAUUUACCAAAAUGAAAACCCCAAUUAAGAAAUCGAAGACGAGGAAUCUUAUAUAUGACUAAGCAUCCAUCACAACGGAAAUCUUAAACAUUGAUUGAAAUAUAAACAAGAACACAGGAAACUGUAUUUUUCAUACAUGAUAAAAAAGUGCAAUAAUUCAAGAUGAACUGAUAAAAAUUCCAAAGGGGCGUGGGGGCACAGAAACUUCAACUACACCCUCCAACAUCUGUGUAACCUUCCUCAUGGUUGAUGUCACGCCCCAAGACCCACUCCAAGGGUGUGACGGUCAUUUCACACCUCAAACCCGAAGGCUUAAAGUAUAAUCUGACCCAAACAGUCAUAUUGUAACUGGAUGUUACCAAUUACCAAAUACCUGCUCAGAGUAGCGGAAACAAAAUCUAAAAUCCUCAAAAUUCAAUUUCCAAAUAACUUCCAAAUACCAAAUGAUCCAAAAUAACAUAACUAAUAGUUAAACAAAAUCCAACAUAAAAUCCUAAGUCAAAUCCUAAUGAUGACCAUUCCUCAGCCUAGCCAUCACUCCUCACCCGAACUAAGAGUACCUGAAAAAUUUUCAACAAUUGGGAAUGAGCUCACAGCCCAAUAAGGAAUAUUAAUGCAGUUCAUGGAUCAAAUAUUUUCAUUUCAAAUAAGAGAUAUCAUUUUUUUUUUCUCAUCAAAUAUCAGAGUUUCAAAAAUACCAAUAUAUUCAAAAUUCAACCAACCAAUUUCAUAUCAAAUUCAAACACUUUCACAUAAGAUUCAAUCAAAUCCAUUCAAAUUUUCAUUACUCUGGUUAUCAAAUAUCAAAUGCCCAGUUAGGUGGGACUUUUCAAAUGGGUGGCUAGCCUCAGAUUGUUCCUGGUGGACGAAACCAAACACUACUAGUACUAGUAACCUCUAACCAAACCCCUAGAGGCUGGGGUCCAAAUCAAUUACAUUCCCACCAUGAAAUGUAAAGGUCAACUAUUAUAUCCCGUUGACAGGGCCGAAUAGUCAACUAUUAUUUCCCGUUGACAAGGGCCAAAUAAACCAGAGUGAUGUUCUUGUUCAAGUAUUCAAAUUUACACAACAUAUUAUCUCCAUAUUUUGUGUCAUAAAUAAAACAAAAUAUUUCAACAUAAUAUUUAGUGCAAAACAGUUUGAUCCAUGCAUGGUAACAAAAUAUCAUUUUCUUUUCCACAAUUCAAAAUAACAUAUAAAAUAAUUUAAUUUUAUAAAUAUUGCAUUAACUUCCCUUACCUCAAAAGAAGUCCUUGAAAGCUUGGGAGAAGAAUAAUUCUGAAAAAAAAUAUAAUCUACUCUUCACCUAAUAUAACAUAAGAGAAACAAUUAUUACUAUUUAUUUAUAAUUUAACAAAUCUAUUCCUUAUUUAAAUAAAACUAAUAAAUUCCCAAUUUGUUUCUAAUAACACAUUACUAAUUUAAUUAAAUUAUAACUUUAUUUCAUUAUAAAAUUCUAUAUAUAUAUUGCUAAAUCUCUUAUUCUAUUUAUUACAAAAAUACCAUUAUUACUAUUAUCUUAUUUAUUAAUCUAAAACUAAAUAUCAUUUUUUUUUUUUUUUAUUAUCCAAUUCAAUAGCUACCUAACCAUUACUCAUUCUCGGGUACACACCAAAAAGCAAGUUUUUUUUUUUUUUUUUUUUUUUGCCUAAUGAUGAUUCAUUAUAUAUAUAUAUAUAUAUAUAUAUAUAUAAGCCUCCAUAGCCCUCUGUCAUGCCCCACCUGCUUUUUUUUUUUUUUUCCUUCCUUCUUCCUUCCGGUGUGCACACGUGUCUCUUCUUUUCUUAUCAUUAUUAUUUUUUUUAUUAACUUUUUCUAAUCCCUUCCACCACAAAUAACAAUAUAUUUAUUUACUCUUUUUUUUUUUAAAUUAACCCUAAUCUAAAAUCGAAACCUUCCAAGGAACCCCUUUUUUUUUUUUUUUCAUCUAAUAAAACUUAAGAUCUCCCAAAUUCCAAUACUAAAAUCAAAAUCUUAGAUUUUCACUAUUUGAUAUUAAAACGAAUAAAAAAUAAUCUAACCCUAAUCUAGAUUUGGGGUUUUCCAAAAAAAUAUAUCUAAUGUGUUUGAAAUUAAUCAAUGAAUCUAAAAUAUUAAACUAGGGGUUAGAAUCUUACCUAUAGAGAUCUGUUCUUCAACCCUGAAAUCUGACUCCAACCUUACAUUCUCUGGAAUUCUACGAACAGGAACUCUAUUCAGAAAAGAAGGGAAAUAAUAAAAUUUCUAAUUUAUACCUAGGGUAUUUAUUUGUAAAAUUACACUUUUAGCCCUCUUCCACUUUAUUAAAUUAAUUAUUUAACUAAUUAAAUUAUUAAUAACAAUUUCCUAAAUUACCCUUAAAAGAAAAUGUCUGGGCGUUACAUCCUCCCCUCCUUAACAAAAGUUUAGUCCUCUAAACUUGACAUACCUGAGUCUUGGAAUAAUUGAGGAUGUUUUUCUCUCAUCUCUUCUUCUAACUCCCAAGUGGCCUCUCGGAUACUAUGAUUGCUCCACUGGACCUUUACCAACUUGACAAUAGCAUGUUGUAGUACCUUAUCCAUCACAUCCACAAUUUGAACGGGUACCUCUUCAUAGGUCAAGUCUUCAAAAAUUUGAAUAGGCUCCAACUCCACAACAUGAGAAGGAUCAUAAAUAUACUUCCUUAGAGUCGAAACAUGAAACACAUUAUGAACCUUAGACAGACUUGGGGGUAAGGCUACUUUAUAUGCCAAAGUGCCUACUCUUUCUAAUAUUUCAAACGGACCCACAAAACGAGGACUAAGUUUUCCUUUUCUCCCAAAUCUCAUCACAGACUUCAUAGGUGAAACUUUCAAGAACACAUGAUCACCCACCUCAAACUCCAAAUCUCGCCUACGAUGAUCAGCAUAACUCUUAUGUCUAUUUUGAGCUGCUUUUAAUAUUUCUUUAAUCAAAACAACUUUUUCAACAGUCAACUGCACAAGUUCAGGCCCCAAAAGUUUCCUUUCUCCAACAUCAUUCCAACAUAUAGGAGAUCGACAUUUCCUACCAUACAAUGCCUCAAAAGGUGCCAUCCCAAUGCUAGCUUGAAAACUAUUGUUAUAGGCAAACUCUACUAAAGGUAAAUGAUCAUCCCAAUUACCUUGCAGGUCCAAAAUACAAGCUCUCAACAAGUCUUCCAAAACCUGAAUUACCCUUUCUGAUUGGCCAUCAGUUUGAGGAUGGAAAGCAGUACUAAAACUCAACUUAGUGCCCAAAGCUUUUUGUAGACUAUGCUAGAAUCUAGAAGUGAAACGAGGAUCUCUGUCAGACACUAUAGAAACUGGUACUCCAUGCAUUCUCACAAUCUCCUUCACAUAAAGAGAAGCUAAACGAUCUAAAGAAAAGUUGACUUUCAUAGGCAAAAAGUGAGCAGACUUUGUCAACCGAUCAACAAUCACCCAAAUAACAUUAUUACCCCCUAAGGUUCUUGGCAAUCCUAUCACAAAAUCCAUGGUAAUAUGCUCCCACUUCCACUCAGGAAUAGCAAGUGGCUGUAAAGACCCUGCUGGUCGCUGAUGUUCAGCCUUCACCUGUUGACACACUAAACACUGAGCCACAAAUUGUGCAAUAUCACGCUUCAUACCUGACCACCAAUAGUUUUGCCUCAAAUCCUUGUACAUCUUUGUCUCUCCUAGGUGGAUUGCAAACUUGGAACAAUGAGCUUCCUCUAAAAGCUCCCUCCUUAAGUCUUCAUCAUUUGGGACACAAAGUCUAGUCCCAAAUCUCAAGAUCUCAUCAUCUGACAAAACAAAAUCAGGCUUACUGCCCCUCUUAACUUCCUCCAUAACUUGCACUAAUUGGGAAUCAUUCUUUUGUAGGGUCUUAAUUCUCCCAACUAAGUCUGUUGUACUCUGAAAUUUGCUACAAGUGCUCCUAAGCCCAUAACUCGAAAGUGGACUUGUAAACUCCUCAACUCUUCAAGUAACUGCCUUUGACAACCUCUAAUAGCUGCUAGAGAACCAACUGACUUCCUACUCAAGGCAUCAGCUACAACAUUCGCCUUCCCAGGAUGAUACUGAAUAAUACAAUCAUAGUCUUUAAGUAGUUCUAUCCAUCUUCUCUGUCUCAUGUUCAACUCCUUUUGGGAAAAUAGAUACUUCAAAAUCUUAUGAUCUGUGAAUAUCUCACAAGUUUCACCAAAAAGAAAAUGUCUCCAAAUCUUAAGUGCAAAAACCACAGCAGCUAACUCCAAAUCAUGAGUAGGGUAAUUCCUUUCAUAAGGCUUCAACUGUCUAGAAGCAUAAGCUACAACUCUCCCAUGCUGCAUAAGAACACAACCCAAACCCUGAUGAGAGGCAUCACUAUACACCACAAAUCCUCCUGAACCUGAAGGGAUAGUCAAAAUAGGAGCUGACACUAAUCUAUUCUUCAACUCUUGGAAGCUACAUUCAUAAUCAUCAGACCACUCAAACUUAACUCUCUUUUGUGUCAACUUAGUUAAAGGUAGGGCAAUCUUAGAGAACCCUUCUAUAAACCGCCUAUAGUAACCAGCAAGUCCCAAGAAACUUCGAAUCUCAGUCACAGUACUAGGUCUUCUCCAAUUAGCUACAGCAUCUACCUUGCCAGGGUCAACUGAGAUGCCAUCAUUGCUUACCACAUGCCCAAGGAAAGAAAUUCGGUCUAACCAAAACUCACACUUCUUCAGUUUAGCAUACAACUGCUUAUCUCUGAGGGUCUGUAAUACAAUACUCAAAUGGCCCUCAUGAUCCUCUCUACUCCUUGAGUAUACUAAGAUGUCAUCUAUAAAAACCACCACAAACUGAUCUAAAUAGGGUUUGAAUACCCUAUUCAUCAAGUCCAUAAAAGCAGUAGGUGCAUUAGUCAAACCAAAAGGCAUAACAAGAAACUCAUAGUGCCCAUACCUAGUUCGAAAAGCAGUCUUGGGUACAUCUUCCCCUCUAACCCUCAAUUGGUGAUAACCUGAUCGAAGAUCUAUCUUAGAGAACACACAAGCACCUUGUAGCUGAUCAAACAAAUCAUCAAUCCGAGGAAGGGGAUACUUGUUCCUCACUAUCACCUUAUUCAACUCCCUAUAGUCAAUGCAAAGUCUCAUUGAGCCAUCCUUCUUUUUCACAAAUAAAACAGGAGCUCCCCAAGGUGAAACACUAGGCCUGAUAAAACCCUUGUCUAAUAACUCCUGAAGCUGAACUUUCAACUCCUUAAGCUCCACAGGUGCCAUCCUGUAUGGGGGCUUAGACAUAGGACCUGUUCCUGGUACCAGAUCGAUGGUGAACUCCACCUCUCUCUCUGGUGGCAAGCCAGGCAAAUCCUCUGGAAAGACAUCAGGAUACUCCCUUACUAUGGGUAUGUCUUCCAACUUCAAAUCACUUUCAUUACUCAUCACACUAGCCAAAAAUCCUUGGCAACCCUUCUUGAGCAAGCUACUAGCUCGCAAGGCUGAGAUCAUACGCAGUGGUCUAUCCACAUGCUUUCCUUCAAAGCUAAACUUAGGCUGACCAGGAAUACUAAACGUCACCCUUUUCUCAAAACAGUCAACAGAGGCAUGGUAGGAAGCUAACCAAUCCAUCCCCAAAAUCACAUCAAAAUCCUGAAGGUCAAGGAGUACUAAGUCAACUGGCAUUUCCCUAUAACCAAUCAUCACAAUACAAUUUCUAAGCAUUCUACUGGCCACAACAGAAUCUCCCAUAAGAGUAGCAACAAUCAAAUCAAAGUCCAUGCUAGCAACAGGCAAACCCAACAAACCAGCAAAAGAUUCUAAAACAAAAGAGUGUGUUGAUCCAGGAUCAAUCAAGACUCUAGCAAAUAAGGUGUGGAUUCGAAGAGUACCUGUCACCACAUCAGAAGUGGCCUGAGCAUCAUGAUGAGUCAUAGCAAACACCCGUCCUUGGGCUUUGGGUUUCUGUUUAUCCUCCUUAUUUUCCUCUUUAGGCUUUCUAGUGAUGAACUUCCUAUUCUCUGGACAAUCUCUGAUCAAAUGUCCUUGCUUCCCACAACCAAAGCAAGCUCCAGUCUCUCUAUAGCAUGGCCUACCCCCAUGCUUCUUACCACAAGUAGGACAAGCCCCAUCUAAAUUCUGCGCUGCCUUCCCUUUAUUCUGAUUUCUUCCUGAUGUAGACCUUCAUUGUGCUUGAUUACCAUGAGCACCAUCACUCCUAUUUCGCUUCCUUUGCUGUUCCCUAUACUGAUGAAGCUCCUCAUUAUCUUUCUUUGCUAUAAGGGCUCUGUCAACAACCUCUGAAUAGACACCAAGCUUCAGAAUAGAUAUCUUGUUCUUCAAAUAAGGCUUCAACCCAUCCUGAAACUUUAAUGCCUUUUCCUCCUCUAUAGCAAUCAACUGUGGGGAAAAACGUGAUAAAUCUGUAAAUUUGGCCUCAUACUGAGCCACAGUCAUAUCCCCCUGUUCCAAACGAAUAAACUCUCCCACCUUUUGCCGCCUAACACUGUCAGGGAAAUACUUCUUGUAGAAAGCCUCCCUAAAUUGUCUCCAUGUUAUGGGUCCCUGAUCCUCCAAAAGUCUCUUAGUCAUACGCCACCAAUGAUCUGCCUCUUUAUCUAACAUAAAAGCUGCAUAAGAGGCUUUUUGCUCCUCAGAGCAAUCUAUGACACCAAAGAAUUUCUCCAUCUUAAGGAUCCAAGCCUCUACCUCUGUGGGAUCUGUAGCACCAGAAAAGUAAGGAGGACCCAAUUUCUUGAAGUCAUCAAAAGAGCUACCCCUAGAAGAUGAAGACUGUCCCUGAACAUUAGUCCCAACAGCUCGAGCUUGGCGUUCAACUAAACCAGCUAGUGUCCCAAGAUACCUAUAGAUCCCUUCUGCACUCACGGGAGGCAAACCCUCAACUGGAGGUACAUCAUCAUUAGCCUGACUGUUUUGGGAAGAUGCAGGUCUUCUUGGUGGCAUGGUGUCCUAUAAAGCAAUAGGUGUAACUAAAUUAGUCACUAAAAAGUCAAAUAAGUAAAUCAGAAUUGUAAGGAAUAAAAGGAAUCAGACUAGAUGAAGUUAAAACUUAAACUAAUACGUCACUCAUCUAUUCCCAAAGGUACACUAAACAAGUUCCCAUCAAGAUCACAACCUAGUGCUCUGAUACCACUCUGUCACGCCCCAAGACCCACUCCAAGGGCGUGACGGUCAUUUCACACCUCAAACCCGAAGGCUUAAAGUAUAAUCUGACCCAAACAGUCAUAUUGUAACUGGAUGUUACCAAUUACCAAAUACCUGCUCAGAGUAGCGGAAACAAAAUCUAAAAUCCUCAAAAUUCAAUUUCCAAAUAACUUCCAAAUACCAAAUGAUCCAAAAUAACAUAACUAAUAGUUAAACAAAAUCCAACAUAAAAUCCUAAGUCAAAUCCUAAUGAUGACCAUUCCUCAGCCUAGCCAUCACUCCUCACCCGAACUAAGAGUACCUGAAAAAUUUUCAACAAUUGGGAAUGAGCUCACAGCCCAAUAAGGAAUAUUAAUGCAGUUCAUGGAUCAAAUAUUUUCAUUUCAAAUAGGAGAUAUCAUUUUUUUUUUCUCAUCAAAUAUCAGAGUUUCAAAAAUACCAAUAUAUUCAAAAUUCAACCAACCAAUUUCAUAUCAAAUUCAAACACUUUCACAUAAGAUUCAAUCAAAUCCAUUCAAAUUUUCAUUACUCUGGUUAUCAAAUAUCAAAUGCCCAGUUAGGUGGGACUUUUCAAAUGGGUGGCUAGCCUCAGAUUGUUCCUGGUGGACGAAACCAAACACUACUAGUACUAGUAACCUCUAACCAAACCCCUAGAGGCUGGGGUCCAAAUCAAUUACAUUCCCACCAUGAAAUGUAAAGGUCAACUAUUAUAUCCCGUUGACAGGGCCGAAUAGUCAACUAUUAUUUCCCGUUGACAAGGGCCAAAUAAACCAGAGUGAUGUUCUUGUUCAAGUAUUCAAAUUUACACAACAUAUUAUCUCCAUAUUUUGUGUCAUAAAUAAAACAAAAUAUUUCAACAUAAUAUUUAGUGCAAAACAGUUUGAUCCAUGCAUGGUAACAAAAUAUCAUUUUCUUUUCCACAAUUCAAAAUAACAUAUAAAAUAAUUUAAUUUUAUAAAUAUUGCAUUAACUUCCCUUACCUCAAAAGAAGUCCUUGAAAGCUUGGGAGAAGAAUAAUUCUGAAAAAAAAUAUAAUCUACUCUUCACCUAAUAUAACAUAAGAGAAACAAUUAUUACUAUUUAUUUAUAAUUUAACAAAUCUAUUCCUUAUUUAAAUAAAACUAAUAAAUUCCCAAUUUGUUUCUAAUAACACAUUACUAAUUUAAUUAAAUUAUAACUUUAUUUCAUUAUAAAAUUCUAUAUAUAUAUUGCUAAAUCUCUUAUUCUAUUUAUUACAAAAAUACCAUUAUUACUAUUAUCUUAUUUAUUAAUCUAAAACUAAAUAUCAUUUUUUUUUUAUUAUCCAAUUCAAUAGCUACCUAACCAUUACUCAUUCUCGGGUACACACCAAAAAGCAAGUUUUUUUUUUUUUUUUGCCUAAUGAUGAUUCAUUAUAUAUAUAUAUAUAUAUAUAUAUAAAAGCCUCCAUAGCCCUCUGUCAUGCCCCACCUGCUUUUUUUUUUUCCUUCCUUCUUCCUUCCGGUGUGCACACACGUCUCUUCUUUUCUUAUUAUUAUUAUUUUUUUUUAUUAACCUUUUCUAAUCCCUUGCACCACAAAUAACAAUAUAUUUAUUUACUCUUUUUUUUUUAAAUUAACCCUAAUCUAAAAUCGAAACCUUCCAAGGAACCCUUUUUUUUUUUUUUUUUCAUCUAAUAAAACUUAAGAUCUCCCAAAUUCCAAUACUAAAAUCAAAAUCUUAGAUUUUCACUAUUUGAUAUUAAAACGAAUAAAAAAUAAUCUAACCCUAAUCUAGAUUUAGGGUUUUCCAAAAAAAUAUAUCUAAUGUGUUUGAAAUUAAUCAAUGAAUCUAAAAUAUUAAACUAGGGGUUAGAAUCUUACCUAUAGAGAUCUGUUCUUCAACCCUGAAAUCUGACUCCAACCUUACGUUCUCUGGAAUUCUGCAAAUAGGAACUCUAUUCAGAAAAGAAGGGAAAUAAUAAAAUUUCUAAUUUAUACCUAGGGUAUUUAUUCGUAAAAUUACACUUUUAGCCCUCUUCCACUUUAUUAAAUUAAUUAAUUAACUAAUUAAAUUAUUAAUAACAAUUUCCUAAAUUACCCUUAAAAGAAAAUGCCUGGGCGUUACAGUUGACCUUAGAGCUGCAUCCUCUUGAAUGCACCAAAUUGCCACCAUCACUAGCCUCUCCAACCUCUUCAUAUCAUUCAUAAGCUUCCACCAGCAUGCCAAUUUCCUUUGCACAAACCAUUCAUAAGCUCCAUCCAUUAGUGCAUCCUCUUCGUCUUCCUUUGCAAAUGCAACACUGGAAUUGCAGCAUAGGAUUUCUAGCGACAUUCCACCAUAGUAAGCAUCAACUUUAGCUGUGAUCGUUCCUUUCCUGAACCAUUUUGUUGCAAAGUAGCAUAUGGUCCGUCUUAUGCCACCUCCUCUUAAGAGUAGUUUAAGUUUGAUCAGCAAACAACAGCUUUGCUUGUUCAAAAUCUGAAAUCCUAGGUGUUAAGUGCCAAUCUGGGAGUAUUUUUUGGGGCUUUAUAUCACAAUGGAUGAUCUGGGUGCUGCACUCCUUCUGUGCAUUAGCCUUAUUACAACCCCAAAGGUGAGUAAAGAAGCCAUUGCUCAUGUAUUCAUGCACCAGAAGCUGACUAAAUUGGUCAAUCUCCUCUGCUCGAUAUUGCCUUGAAGCCAUGGGUGGCUACUUCAAGCUCUGUGUAUGAAUAAUGUGUCACAGUAGUAGUCCCCGCUUCCCCGGUAUGCUUGAAACAAACUGGAGACUGAUCAGUUUCUUACAGUAUCAAAAGACAGCAGCCACAGCUAACCACAAAAAGAGAUUGAAGAACACUACUGCCAAGGAGUAUUCUCAACAAGGAUCAAGGUAGACUUAUCUGGGCUUGUCUGUAAUACUUUUACUAUGUCUUCCACAGGACUGAGGAAAUCUCUUCUGCCAACACAUUGUCCGCAUAAAUGGCUACUGCACAGAAGCAAUCCUCUUUACAAGACUGUUUAAAAUUUCUCCUAGUCAAUGGCCCAUCGAAUCCGAAGUUCAGAAUCGGAAUGGCCAGUCUGUGUUGUUUAAUUCUAUGAACUCUACCUCAUUCUUCCCCGCUUCCCCUUCAUCUGCUUGGCAACUGGGCAUUGGAAAAUUUGGUCUUUGAAAUCUGGAACCAAGGUAGAAUACCUAUACAAGAACUCACAUCUGAAUAGCCACGGCCGCGGCCACUAACAGCUGUACAAUUGCCAUCGGUAAGUGCCUGCAGAACAGACGAAGAAGUAUUAAUGCAGUUCCAGUGGUUUGCAGUGUUCUUUUUUUAGUGAUUAUAGAAUCAAAAUCAAGUCUUGUCCUGUGGUAAUAGUCACUCCUGAAGUCUUUGUCUUCUGACAUGAGGUUAACUUAUUUGGCAAGAUGGUAUCAGUGGGAUUCUUGAAGCUCUCCCAGGCAUAAAUAAGUAAAGCCAUAUUUUCAAAAAAAUUUGGUUAGCAAUCAAGAAAAACCUGGUAGAAUUAGUGUAGAAUAUGUAAAAACUGGAAAAUCACCAUGUUAAUUUGAGCAGGUCAUCAAAACAUGUGGUUUUGGCCUCUUAAAUAUUCAAUCACAAGUAUAUUAUAUAUGAUUUUAAGCUAUUAGAGAAGUAUGAAAAAGAAAAUUAUGAGACAAUGUCAACAAGUGGAAAAUAAUUUCAUCAAGUAACUUCUCUUGAUAUCCUUUUCCUUUGUAACAAUAUUCAAGACGAAAGGUUACAACUUACAAGUCACAACUUAAUUUUCAACUUAAGACUCUUACCAUGUGAAGGUACUCAAGUCUGACUGUAACUUGACCCAACCAAGCAAGGGCCAUCCAUACUUUAUACCAUUUGAGGUUGGUCAAAUUUGCUCACAAAAUGAACUUUCCUGACAUUGAGAACAAACCUUAUAUCAUCAAAAGUUCAGAAAAAUAAAUCAAGAGAAUAUUUAAGACAGUGAACAACCAACUCUCUUCUUGAUAAUAGAUGGGGAACAAGCUCAAAAUAUAGAAUAUUAAAUUUUCUAAAGCAUGAAGAUGGCGAAUAAGCUUAAAAAAAUAAUUUCUAUACAAAAUCAGAAACAUGAGAGAAUUGCACUCAACUACUUUAAGAUAAUAACAACAUCAAAGAAAGAAAAACAGAACCGCGAAAGUCUUAUAGUCAAGAUAAUUUAAUUAAAAUAUUCUUUGUGGGAGUUUUGCGGUAUAGACCUUCAUUUAGACUUGGACUCUUUAAUUUUCUUUAUGAAUAAACAACUGACUCCUGCUCAAAUGAAAAAUGAGAACCAAUGCUCAUAGUCACAGAUAGAAGUGUAGGCAUGGCAAUGCCAAUUUUGCAUAUGAUCUAGUCCUAGUCAAGACCUAAGAAAAGCCAAAACAAGAACAAAAGAACAUCAAAAUUGGGACAAAAACAAGUGUAGCAACUACAUAACAAAGAUUUAUGUCAAUCUGCUCACCUUUUGAAGGUGGCCCACUGGGUGAGUGCAAAAUAGACCGGCUUUUUUUAACAGGGGCUCACAAUUAGUAAAAGUUGCAGAACCAAAACAGAGUUCAGAUAAUGAAAGAAUUCAAUGAAUUCAAUAAUAUAAAAAUGUUGCUUUUGGAACUGUAGGUUUUCAAAUAAUCAGAUCUAAAAAUACAUUGGCAUACAAUUACUGUUUGUUUACGUCACAUGUUUUUCCAUAGUCAUAUCAACAUGUACAUAUGCAGCCAACUAAAAACAUAUUGUGAUGUUGUAAGAUUCAAUACAUAUUUCAAUAACCAUGAAUUACCUAAAAAUGUAUCCACAUGUUCUUACAGGAGAUAAACACACAAGUAGUUAAGAGUCAUCUUUACCCAUUCAGGAAGGUAAAUUGAAGGUGUCAUGAAAAUACGAUAAGUGGCUUCAUUAAAAUGUGAAUUACCAAGGAUCAAUCUUUCUUUACUCUUUUUUUUUUUUUUUUUGAUAGGUAAAGGAAAUUCAUUAAAAGCCAAAAAGGCUAAAGUUACUCUUCUUUUCUUCAUUAGAAAAUUCUUAAAUAUAUAUAUAUAAAAGAACAGAGCAUGCUGCAUAACCAAAUUCCCAACAAGACUAGAAAAUGAAUUAUGGGGACAUGCAACUCUAGAGAUUGUUAGAAAUUUUGAAACAUGAGUACUUGGCCAGCUACUUUGUGAAUUGGAACAUAACUUUUCUGAAUAAAAUAAGUUUAAGCAUAGAACAAAUUACUUGGCUGUAUAUUGGUGCAAUACCACUUUCAUUACAAUAACAGACCAUUGAUCACCAUUUUUGGAGUUGAGAGAGGGCAAUGCAUAUAUACAAGAUCAUGGGAUUAUGUUCUGCUUGGAACUCAAUUUUGCUUGUCAAUAGCCCACCGCAUUCUUCUCUGCUUCCCCUUCAUCUGCUUGGUUUGAAAAAAAUUUGAUCUUUAAAAUCUGUAUCCAAGAAAGAAUACCUAUACAGGCAACAAUCUGGACAGCCUCCCCUCUUCAUCAAACAAUACAAUGGCUAUUAAAUCCACAAAUCCCACUACCAUGGCUACUGGUACCUAUGCUACAAAUGCCAUUAGGAAUUGCCUGCACAAUAGACCAAGAAGCAUUUGUUUUUAAGAUCAGAAGCUUCUAUAUAUAGGUAAAGCAUCUUAUACAAAAGAGUAGAGAUUUACCUUGUGCCUUUAAAAACCACUUUUUAAGAAAUUUUAAAAUUUGAGAUAAUAAAUUUUUUUUGGUACCUUGAUUGUUUUAAACAGUUUUUAAAAUUAUUAAUUUUUCAAUGUAAGUCUUUAAGAGUUAAAAUACAAAAGUUACUAUUAUUUUAUUAUUUUAAAAACAAAAAACAGGAGGUAUAUACAGACACUUAAGGAGGUCAAAACCUUAACAAUGUAGGAGAUUUAACGGAGGCAAGGAAUUAAGCAGAUAUAUUCUUGAGAUUAGAAAUUUGGGUGGAACAUCAAUUUUGUAAAGAAAAUAAGUUUAAGCACACAACAAUUACCUGCCCAUGUGUUGGUGCACUGCCACUCCCAUUAAAAUAGCUCAAGACCGAUCGUUAUUUUUGGAAUGUGAGAUAUAUAACGCCAUUCUUGCCCUUUCUCGAACUGGAGCCGUUGUUCCAGUGGAGGACACUCGUUGAUAUGCAGAUAAAGGAGUGAGUCUGGCAGUCUCUCUUUUGUCAAGUAUUGAAGCUUAGGGCAGUCGUCGAUAUGUAAGGUUUCAAGAGUGGUGAGGUGGUGAAGACCCGCUUCUGUCAAGGAUUGGAGCCUUCCGCAUGAGUCGAUUCCUAAUUUCUUGAGAGAGAUAAGGCAUUGAAGAACAGAUCCUGUCGAGAAUUGGAGCUCAGGGCAGUACUGGAUCCAUAAUUCUCGAAGAGAGGUGAGUUGUUGAAGCCCCUUGUUGUCAAGAGACUUGAGAUUUGGAAGAUCUGAGACUGAAAGAUAAGUCAGAGAAGAGGGCAGCAGGCACUUUUGGGAAAUAAUUCCACGUCUUCACAUCCACCUCUGAUUGUGAAAUGAGUAUUGUUUAAUCAUUAUAAGAUGCCUACUUAAAUCAAUAAUAUCUUCCUCACUUCCAUAUACACGAGAUUCAAAAACUAAAAAAUAGAACAAGCCAUGCGCAUGAGAUUCAUUUAGUUUUAUUGAGAGAGUUGUGCCUGCCAUGCACACACACACCGGAUUAAAGAAAUAAUGAAAGAUGACUUAUGAGAGAGUUGUGCCUGCCAUGCACACACACCGGAUUAAAGAAAUAAUGAAAGAUGAAAUAAGUCAUAGAAGGCUCAUGGGGCUGCUCAAAGCCUCAGAGAGAGAGAGAGAGAGAGAGAGAGAGAGAGAGAGAGAGAGAGAGAGAGAGAGAGAGAGAGAGAGAGAGAGAGAGAGAGAGAGAGAGAGAGAGAGAGAGAGUUAGUUUUUCUUUUUUUUUCUAACUUUGAAGCUAGUCAUUCAAGACUCAUGGAGUUGAUUGAACAUUAUGAUAGAACCAAACAGUCCCUAUUGUUUGCCAAAAACAAUUUUGUGAAAAAGCGAUCCUUUAUAAUAUGUUUGCUUCCAUAAAGUUUGAAAAAAAAAUGUAAAAAAUAAAUAAAUAAAUAAAAAUAGAAAAAAAAUUUAAAAUUAAUAAAUUAUUUUUACAUAUUACAUGAAAUUCAUUUUAAAUAUUUAAUUCUUUGAUAUAAAGAUUAAAUAAUUUAAAAAUAAAUAAUUUUCUUAAUCAUUUUAAUUAUAUUUGACUUUUUUCAUAUUUUUUAUGAUAUAAUAAAAAAUUGAGAAAAUCAUUUUUGUUAACAUUUUUUUUCUUAGUAUUUUUUAGGAACUAAAUAUAGAUUUAUAUUAAAAGUAAUCCUUUAUAUUAAAGUCAUACUUGGUUCUAGAAAAUGGUCCAAAAAAAUAUGUUAAAAAAAAUAAUUUUCUCCUAUUUGAUUUUACUAUUAAGAAUAUGAAAGAAAAUCAAAUAUAAUUAAAAAUAAAUAAAAAAAUUAUACAUUUCAAGUUAUUUUAUUUUUAUAUAAAAGAGUUAAAUAAGUAAAAUGAGUUUAAAAUAUAAUAUAAAAACAAUUUAUUAACUUUUCACAUCUAAUUAUCUUAUCCUUCGUUUGUAAUACUAGAAGUAUCAAGGAAAUGAAAAAAAAAAAAAGCAGCUAAAUGAGAAUUUAAAAUCAUAUGUUUGAUUGAGAGUGAAAUUUGAAAUACUAAAUUACAUAUAUUUUUAUUAAUGAAGAAGAAUGAGAAAUAAUAUUUUUUUAAAAAGUAUCUAAAUUUUUUCUUACUUUUUUUACAUGUCACAAACAUGGUUGUCUUAGGUUCUAAUCUUUCCUAAUUCAUCAAAGACUAAAUUCCCAUGGUCAAUGACACAAGUACUGUAGGCAUGGCAAUGAGAACUCUGCUAAUGAGAAGCUAACACCAAAAGAUUUAGGUCUUCUCUUAUGACCAUGACAUUGAUCUCAAUGAUCAUUUCCAUGAAGACAGAAACAAAGUGCAUCAACUUCCUAACAAACUUCAGGUCUAUUUGCCUACCUUUAAAAGGUGGUCCACUAGGUCAAUGCAAAAUAGACCAGCUUUUAUUACAGAGACUCCCAAUCAAUGAAUGCAGGCCGCUAAACCAAAAUAUGAAACAAUGAGAUGUUUUGAGGUUAUUGAGAACAUGAACCAAAACAAAGAAAACCUUUUUGUUUUAGUGAAAAAUAAGACAUUGAAAGGAUAUGCAGUCAUAAAUCUUGCAAUUUUGUACAUUGCAAGAGUUAAAUCUCUACUUUUAUUACACUCGAAAGGGAAUAGCAGCAAGAAAAGACCAAAGCAAUUAAAAUUUUUUAUUGCCAAAGCUCAAUACAUCCCUGCUUUCCUCCAUGCUUGUAUAAGAGAACAUAGACCAAGAAAGUGAGAAAAACCUAAGCCUCCAUGGUUUUCCAUGGUUAUCAAGUGGUUCACUUGGUUUAAGCGUACUACCAAAUAAAAACAGAGCAUGAAAAUGCGAGUACCAUUAGAAAAUGGCAACUAUUUGCAUCCAAAAUGUGAGCACUUGGGUUCAAUCCUCCUCUACUCCUCUUCAAUAUUUGUUUUAGACUUGAAGCUUCACGAAAAAAGAAAAUCCCUAGCACACCUGCCACCAUUAAAAAAAUCAGCAUCAGUAAGCAAACAUAAAAUUCCUUGCACCUAACAUUGACAUGGACUCAAAUUAUCUAGAACUAACCUAAAUUCAUGGAGAUGAAUAGCCAACCAAGCCAAGCAUGUGCCUGUGUGAUGUCUAGUCAGUCAUCUGGAGAAGCUUGGAGCACGCCCAUGAUUAGAUCUGUCACAUAUGAGCUGUAUUUUGGUAAUUCUGGAAUGCGGUAUUUUCUAUUUAAGAUAAUAGAUGGUGAGAAACAUAUAGUCAGAUAAAUAAUAAAACACACACUCUAGUAUUCUACUCAUUGAUUCACCCAUUCACUAAUCAUUAAAAAGUCUAGAAAUAUAGAAGCUUAAAUUUUCUAAUUUAUGGAGAUAGCAAAUAAGCUCAUAAUCAUCAUUUCUAUACAAAAUCAGGAAGUUCAAUGAGGGAGUUGCACUCAACCACCUUAAGAUAAUAAGGACAUCAGAAUAAAAAACAAAGCUACAAAAAGUCUUAAAGCCAAGAUCAAUUUAAUUAUAGUAUUCUUCUUGGGAGUUACAUGGUAUAAACCUUCGUUAAGACAUGGACUCUAAUUUUCUUUUCAAAGAAACAGUUGACUCCUGAUCGGAUAAUGCCCAUGGCCACUAACAGGAGUGUAGGCAUGAUGGCAACAACAAUUUUGCUAAUGAGAAGCAGCACAAGAAGACCGUCACCUUCAGAAUCCAUGUCAUUGAUCCCAAUGAUCAACUCAGCAACAGUUAAAAAAAAAAAAAAGUAUACAAAAAUUCAGUCACAGUCAAGAUCUAAGAAAUUCCCAAAAAAGAACAUAACCACAUCAAAAUUAGGACAAAACAAGUACAACAACUACCUAAUAAGAAAAAAAUUGACCAAAAUACUUCAUGUAAACAAAUAAAAAAAGUUGACCAAUUCAGUACCAUAAAAUACUUCAUAUAAAAUUUUUGCUUUUAAUUGCAGUUUGAUAAAUGAUCCUGGAUCUAAAUGUACAUUGGCAUAAAAUUAAUUAUAGUUUCUUUACCUCACAUGUUUUUAUAUUGCAUAAUGGAACUUUGUUCCUCAUCAUAAGAGGUCUUCUAUGCUCAUCCUAGUUGCUUGAUAUGGAACGCAUGGAGAAGAAAAGAAAAAACAAAAAGUAUUGAGUAAUUUAGUUUGAUAAAAAUUUAAAAAAAAAAUGGAAAUUUAUUCAGAGAAGUAGCAUCAAUUGCCCAUGGAAUAAGUGCCUACAGAUGUCUCCCAAAGAAUCUUAAUUCAUUCGUAAAACUACAAUAUUGACUACAAACUAACCAAAAAGAUAAAAAAAUUUAAAUUCAUGCAAAUUUAUAAUAAAAAAAAAGGAAGAGAAAUUCAUUCUCAUAUACAAAUUCUAAAAGGAAGAGUGACAAGAAAAGAUUAACUAAUAAAAACUCCAAAGGGGUGUGGUGGUAUAGAAACUUCAACCUUCCUCAUUGCUGGCCUUAUUACAACCCCAAAGGUGAUUAAAGAGCCAUUGCUCAUGUGAUUAAAAUAUGAUAACUAGCUUUGUUAAAAUGUGAAUUACCGAGAACCAAUCUUCCUUUACUCGUCUUUUCUCCAUUGGAAAAUUCUUAAAUCAAAUAAACAGAGCAUGCUGCACAACCAAAUACCCAACAACAAGACUAGGAAAUGAAUUAUGUAGACAUGCAAUUCUAGGGAUUGUCAGAAAUUCUGAAACAUGAGUACUUGACAGCUACUUUAUGAAUUGGAACAUAAGUUUUCUGAAUAAAAUAAGUAUAAGCAUAGAAUUAAUUACUUGACUGUAUAUUGGUGCGGUACCACUUUCAUUAAAAUAUCACACCAUUGAUCACAAUUUUUGGAGUUGAGAGUGAGCAAUUGCAUAUAUACGAGAUCAGGGUACCCUCUGAUUUGCAAGUAACGUCAAUAGCCUGUCUGAUAUGAAGUUCAUAAUUAUAUGAACUCUACUGCAUUCUUCUCUGCUUCCCCUUCAUCAGCUUGGCAACUAAGCAUUUGAAAAAAUUUGGUCUUUAAAAUCUAGAUCCAAGAAAGAAUAACUAUACAGGCACACACACCUGGACAGCCUCCCCUCUUCAUCAAACAAUUCAAUAGCUGUUAAAUCCACUAAUCCCACAUCCAUGGCCGCUGGUGCCUAUGCUGCACAUGUCAUCAGGAAUUGCCUGCACAACAGACCAAGAAGAAGCAUUUGAGUGCUUAUAUGAUCUAGCAGCUCCAUCAGAAUCAAGUGUUGCCCUGUAGUAAUAGUCACUCCUUAAGUCUCUCCCCAUGUGCAGGUAAGUAUCUGGGUCUGAUUGUAACUCAACCCAAACAAGCAUGGGCAUCCAUACUUGAUACCUUUCAGGUUGGUCAAAUUGAAAUGAGUUACAUAUAAUGCUCAUCUCCAGUAUCGUUUUUGAAGCUAGUUCGGCUAGACUAAUAGACAAAUAAGCCCUCAAAAUAAACUUUCCCAGGUUGAGAACAGACCUUAUAUUGAGAUAGUCCACGACCAACCCUGCUCUUAAUAUAUAAGAAAUGGUGAAAAAUAUGUAGUCAGAGAAAUAAUAAAAUACAUAACCUAAUAUCCUAUUGAUUGAUUCACCCAGUUUUUAACCAUUAGAAAGUCUGGAAAUAUAGAAGAGUAACUUUUCGAAUUCAUGAGGAUGGUGAAUAAGCUUAGAAUCAUCAUUUCUACACAAAGUCAGUUGGUUCAAUGAGGGAAUUACACUCUUAACUACUUUAAGAUAAUAUAACAACAUCAAAAAUAGAAAAUUGAACUACAAAUAUUUUUGGAAUGCGAGAUAUAAAAGGCCAUUCUUUCCUUUUCUCAAAUUGGCACUGUUGUUCCAGUGAAGGACACUUGAAGACAGACAGAUAAAAGAGGGAGUUUGGCAGUCUCUCUUUUGUCAAGUAUUGGAGCUUAGGGCACUUGUAGAGAUCUAAGGUUUCAAGAGUGGUGAGGUGGUGAAGACCUGCUUCUGUCAAGGAUUGGAGCCUUGGGCACGAGUAGAUUUGUAAUUCUUUGAGAGAGAUAAGGUGUUGAAUAACAGAUCUUGUCAAGGAUUGGAGACUUGGGCAGUCCUGUAUUCGUAAUUUUUUGAGAGAGACAAGGUGUUGAAGCCCCUUGUUGUCAAGAGACUUGAGAUUUGGAAGACCAUAGAUAUAAAGAUAAGUCAGAGGAGGGCAGCAGACACUCCUUGGGAAAUAAUUCCACGUCUUCACAUCUACCAAAGAUUGUGAAAUGAGUAAGAGAGCUCAGUCUUUGCAAAUCCCAGUCCACCUGGGACGUGAGUUGGUUGCAGCGACAGAUUUGAAGUUCACGUAGGUUGGAAGGCAAGCCCUCUUUGUGAAACAACAAUUCUCGACAAUCCCCUAAACUCAGCUUCUGCAGAGAUGAAUGGGUAUGCGCCAACAAUCUGAGCUUGGAACAAUUGUGAAUCAAAUGGGACAUCGAGUGAGAGCGGCAGUUGGAUGUAUACAAGAUCCGAGCACCCAUCGAUUUCCAAUUUAUGAAGAGAUGUGGGAUCCCCCUCUGAAAUCGAAAUGCAGAGCUUCUCAAGCCCCUUGAGACCAUUGAUUGCGAAAUUAGUCAACCUGGGGGAGAUGUCCAAUAUGGAGAAGGAUAACGGGAGAGAAUUAUCAUAGGUACCACCAUUGAUCUAUAGAUUUUCAAGGACAGGGUGAUGACAUCUGAACAACUCAGGUAGAAGAAGGUCCAAUUUGGUACAGUUAGAGAUUGAUAGGGAUUUCAAUGUAGUGGGUAAGCCAACUUUGCUCGGGGAUCUGGAAAAAGAGCAGUCUUAAAUUUCCAAACUGUACAUGUUGGUUUGUAGGAAUUCGUCCUCUAGUAGAGACUCCACAGAAUCACAAUUUUUAAUGAAGAGAUUAUGGGGUAUCAUUGCAAGUUGCUUCAACUGAGAGACAUCUGAAAUUUCAAUUUCUGAAGUUUGAAGAGCUGUGAAGCCACAAGUUUCCCUUUUCAAGAGCAAUCUACGGACAACAGGAACAUUGAGUGAGGCACAAGCAGCUGCGGACGAUUUUCAACUUAAAGUUCCUUCAUUGAAGGAAGGUGUAUUGGUAAUUCCCCAGUGAGUUGGUGACACAUCACUAUAGAAAGCUCCUGGAGACGAGGGAAUUCUCCAUGUCUGCCUCCACGACAAAACCAUUUCUCCCAACUGGACAUAUGAUAAAAUGAAGAAUUUGUAGGGAUGGAAAGGAGGGCUGAGGCGAGGAAGAAGAACUCCCAUAAAACUCACCACCGUCAUAGUUCAAAUUUAAUUAUGAAAUUUAUUACCCUAAUUAAUUUUAUAUUAAAAAAAAUAUGAAUGAAAAGCAUCAAAUUAUGAAAAUUAUUGUUUUCUAUAUUUUAAUAAUGAUAUUACUUUCUACAUAUUGAAAAUUUUUAUGGUUAGAUGAUUUUCUUCAAGUGGGAUGCCAUAAAAAAUCAUUAAGAAUACAAAUAUGAUGAAUGAUUCAAGUGAGCAUAAAUUUUUCUUUGUGGUAUGGAGUGUUGAAAUUUGGGCUCCAAACCCAUUGUCACCAUGCACCAGUAAUUAAAUAAAUUUAGAAAAAGAAAGACAAAAGAAUUGUCCUUGAGUAGAUUUAAAGUUUAAUUAUAUAAGAAAUCUUUUCUUUUAUAUAUAUAAUAUAAAAACUCUCCAAAACUUGUAUUGAAAAUGUAAUAAAUUUUAAAAAUUAAAUAAAAAUUGAGGUAUUUAAAAAACUUUUGUAUGCAUUUGGUAAAACUUAAUAUUUAUUAUUUACUAACUUAAAUUAAUUUUAAUUUAAAUUAUUUUUAAAUUGUUAAUUUAAAACUUAUUCUUUUUUAUUUUAAGUGUUAAGGUUGUUUAGUAAAAUUAAUUUUAAAUUAUCAAAUUGACAAAUUUAUCUUUAUUAGUUGUAAUGAAUAUUUAUCAUUAUUAACUGUAAGUUAUAUUAAUUUUUACUAGUCUUAAGCAAUAUAUUUGUUUAUUAAAUAUAUAAUCUUAAAAUAUUGUAAAUUUGUAAGAUACACUUAAAAUAAUUAUGAUAAAAAAAUGAGUCAUCGAUGUAAAGCCAUGGUUGUUAAUAUUAUUUUAUAAUAUAUUCUAUAAAUAUUUUCUUUAAUUAUUUUUUUAUUUUAAAUUUAAUUUAUAAAAAGUUUUUAUUUUCUAAAAUAACUAAUAUAAAAAAAUUAAAAUUAAUAAAAUAAAUAAAUUUAUUAUAUAUGAGAUGUGUAUAUUCUACUAUUAAUAUACAUUAUGCCCUCCUUUAUUUGAACUCAUGUUAGGUGAAAAGAAUGUAUUUUCAUACAAAUGAUAAAAAGGUAAUGAUUCGAGAUGAACAUAAAGAAAUUCCAAAUUAAAGCCCUACACGGAAACUUCAACUACACCCUCCAGCAUCUGUGUAACCUUCCUCAUGGUUGGCCUUAGAGCUGAAUCCUCCUGAAUGCACCAAAUGGACACCAUCACUAGCCUCUCCAGCCUCUUCAUAUCAUUCAUAAUUUGCAUCCUCAUCAUCUUCCACCAACUUCUCCAACUUCCUUUGCACAAACAGUUCAUAAUCUCAAUCCAUUAGAGCUUCCUCUUCGUCUUCCAUAUGAAAGAGGAAAUCUUCUUCUAACACAUUGCCUCUAUAAAUGACUACUUUGAAGAAGCAAUCCUCUUCACAUGACUCUUUACACUUCUCCUAAUCAACCGAUCUGUGUUGUUUAAUUCUUUCAACUCCACUUCAUCCUUUGCUCUCUUCGCUUCAUCUUCAUCUGCUUGGCAACUCCACUUCAUUCUCAAGAACAAAGUUACCAUUGUCGAGCAUAGCAGCAUGAGUAACCCCUUUAACAGCCGACUGAGUUCUCCGAAGCUCAUAUCCUCCUUUGUCAGCGAGUUUGAACUCCCCAUUUUUGGUGAGUUCAAUCUUUGUACCCUUCUGCCACUUCUUUAUCUGCAUACCAAAUUAUUGUUUGGUAAUUCAUGUUCACUAAUUACAUAUAGAACAUAAUUAACCCCUCUAAAAAAAUAAUUAAUAUGAUCAAUCAUCUUCUAAGAUGGCAUGUUACAUAAAAGGUAACAAGAUUAUGCUACUUUUUUAAAAUUUUCCUUAGGUUGUCAAUGUCAUAAUGUGGGUACAAACUGAUGGUAUAGGAACAAGUACAUUGAUAAAAAUUAAAAGAGAAAAAUUGGAAAUUUAUUCAGAGAAGUAGCAUCAAUUGUCUAGGGAAUAAGUGUCUGCAGAUGUUACUCCUUAGUCCCCAGUAUGCUUGAAACAAAUUGGAGACUGAUCAGUUUCUUACAGUAUCAGAAGACAGCAGCCCAGCUAUAGCUAAACACACAAAGAGUUUGAAGAACACUGAGCUUCCAAGUAGUAGUGACCCAACAAGAAUCAAGGUAGGCUUAUCCUGGCCUAUCUGUAAGCCUUUGCUCUGUCUUCCACAGGAGAGAAGGAAUCUCUUUGGCCAACACAUUGUCUGUAUAAAUGGCUACUGCACAGAAGCAAUCCUCUUUACAAGACUCUUUAAAAUUUCUCCUUGUCAACGGUCUGUUCAAUCCAAAGUUCAUAAUUGCAGAUUUGCCAGUCUGUGUUGUUUAAUUCUAUGAACUCUACUGCAUUAUUCUCUGCUUCCCCUUCAUCUGCUUGGUAACUGGGCAUUGGAAAAUUUGGUCUUUAAAAUCUGGAGCCAAGAAAGAAUGCCUACACAGGCACUCACAUCUGAACAGCCCCCUCUACUCAUCAAACAAUACAAUAGCUGUUGAAUCCACAAAUCCCGCGACCACGGCCCCUUGCAGCUGCACUGCAAUUGUCAUCAGUAAUUGCCUGCAGAAUAGACCAAGAAGUAUUAAUGCAGUUCCAAUGGUUUGCAGUGUUCUGUUUUCAGUGCUUAUAUAAUCAAAAUCAAGUGUUGUCCUGUAGUAAUAUCACUCCCAAAGUCUCUAUCUUCUGAUAAGAGGUUAACUUAUGUGGCAAGAUGGUAUCAGUGGGAUUCUUGAAGCAUGUCCAGGCACAAAUAACUAAAGCCAUAUUUUCAAAAAAAAUUGGUUACCAACCAAGAAAAACCUGGUAGAAUUAGCAUAGAAUAUGUAAAAACUGGAAAAUCGCCAUGUUAAUUUGAGCAGGUCAUUCAAGUACAUGUGAUUUUGGCCUCUUAAAUAUUCAAUCACAGGUACAUUCUAUAUGAUUUUAAGCUACUAGAGAAGUAUGAAAAAGAAAAUUAUGAGAAUGUCAACCAGUGUGGAAACUAAUUUCCUCAAGUAACUUCUCUCAAUAUCCUUUUCCUUUGUGACAAUGUUAAAGACCUAUAGUUACAAGUUACAACUUAAUUUUCAUCUCCAGACUUACCAUGUGAACAUACUUAAGUCUGAUUGUAACUCGACCCAACCAAGCAAGGGCCAUCCAUAGUUGAUACCAUUGACGUUGGUUGAUGGAAUUGAGUCACAGGCUAGUCCAGCUUGACUAAUAGUCAAAUAUGCUCUCAAAACAAACUUUCCUCAGAUUGAGAACAAACCCUGUAUCAUAAAAAGUUCAUAAAAAUAAAUCCGGAGAACAUUUAAUAUAGUCAACAACCAACUCUUCUUCUUCAUAAGAGGUGGUGAAUUAGCUCAUAAUGUAGAAUAGUGAAUUUUCUAAAACAUGAAGAUGGGAAUAAGCUCAAAAUCGUCAUUUCUAUACAAAAUCAGAAAGUUCAAUGAGAGAAUUGCACUCAACUACUUUAAGAUAAUACCAACAUCAAAAUAAAAAACAGAACCGCAAAAGUCUUAUAGUCAACACAAUUUAAUUACAAUAUUCCUCGUGGGAAUUUUGCGGUAUAGACGUUCAUUUAGACUUGAACUUUUUAAUUUUCUUUAAGAAUAAACAAUUGGCUCCUGCUCAAAUGAAAAAUGAGAACCAAUGCUCAUAGUCAGAGACAAAAGUGUAGGCAUGACAAUGCCAAUUUUGCAAAUGAUCAUUUGGUCAUAGUCAAGACCUAAGAAAAGCCAAAACAAGAACAAUAGAACAUCAAAAUUGGGACAGAAACAUAUGUAGCAACUACAUAACAAAGAUUUGUGUCAAUCUGCUCACCUUUUGAAGGUGGUCCAUCGGGUUAGUGCAAAAUAGACUGGCUUUUUUUUUACAGGGGCCCUUAAUCAGUGCUGGCUGCUGAACCAAAAGAAAGUUCAGAUAACUAAAAAAUUCUAUAAAUUCAAUACCAUAAAAUACCUCACAUAAAAAUGUUGCUUUUGCAACUGUAGUUUUCCAAAUGUUCCCAAAUUUAAAAUUACAUUGGCAUAAAGUUAUUGAUGUUUACCUCUUUUUUUUUUUCAUGGUCAUAUCAAACAUUGUUCUCAUAGUAAGUCUUCUAUGCUGAUCCUUGUUGCUUAAUAUGAGACACACAAAAGAAAAAGCAGUGAUCCAUUUAUUUUGAUAUCGAAGGGAGCAAAGUCACAACAUGUAUAUUACUUAUGUAGCCAACUAAGUUCAUAUUAUGAUGUGGGUAAGAUUCAAUACAUAUUUCAAUAACCAUGAAUUACCAAAAAAUGUAUCCACAUGUUCUUACAGGGGAUUAACACACAAGUAGCUAAGAGUCAUCUCUACCCAUUCUAAAAGGUAAAUUGAUGGUGUCAUGAAAAUAUGAUAACUGGCUUCAUUAAAAUGUGAAUUACCAUGGAUCAAUCUUUCUUUACUCUUCUUUACUUCAUUAGAAAAUUCUUUUUUAAAAAAAAGACAGGAUAGAGCAUGCUGCAUAACCAAAUUCCCAAUAAGAAGACUAGAAAAUGAGUUAUGCAGACAUGCAAGUGCAGAGAUUGUUAGAAGUUUUGAAACAUGAGUACUUGGCCAGCUACUUUAUGAAUUGGAACAUAACUUUUUUAAAGAAAAUAAGUUUAAGCAUAGAACAAAUUACCUGACAGUAUAUUGAUGGAGUACCACUUUCAUUAAAAUGACAGACCAUUGAUCACUGUUUUUGGUGUUGAGAGAGGGCAAUUUCAUAAAUACAAGAUCAUGGGAUUAUGUUCCCUCUGGAACUCGAUUUUGCUUGUCAAUAGCCUGUGUACCACAUUCUUCUCUGCUCUCCCUUCAUCUGCUUGGCAAUCGGGCAAUUGAAAAAAUUUGGUCUUUAAAAUCUAUAUCCAAGAAUGAAUACCUAUGCAUGCAACAAUCUAGACAAACCCCCUUCUUCAUCAAGCAAUACAAUGGUUGUUAAAUCCACAAAUCCCACUACCAUGGCUACUGGUGUCUAUGCUGCAAAUGUCAUCAAAAAGUAUAGAUUUACCUUGUGUCUUUAAAAAUCACUUUUUGAGAAAUUUUAAAAUUUGAGGGAAUAAGAGCAUGUUUGGUGAAAAUUUUAAAAACUGUUUGGUUAUUGUUCUCUAUUUCCUAUUUUUUAAAAACAAAGUGAAAGAGAAAAUAACUUUUAAAGAACAAAUAACAUUUACUUUCAUCCAUUUUUAAAAACAAUAGAAGAACAUAUACACUAUUAUUUCUCUUCUACAUAGAAUUAUUAUUUUUCAAUUUUUUUCACUAGGCAAAUUAACUCCAAAUUAAACAAGACUUUAUAUGUUGGAUUUGUUAACAAGUCUAUUAAAUUUUAAAAAUAAUUUGAAACUUAAAUAAUAAACUCAUUAUUCUAACAUAUAAUAAAAUAGUAUAAUUUCUACUAAAAAUAUAAUUUAUGAUUUUAUUAUAAUAUUACUAUUUAUGUUUUACUAAAAACUAUAUAUUUUAUAAUUUAUCAAUAAUUACAAAAUUAUUUUCAUUUUCAAUAAAAAAUUUAUCCGAACAAGUUUUUUUUUUAAAUCCUUUUAUAAUAAUUACUUACCAAAUAUUCUUAAUUUUAUAAAACAUUAAAAAAACAAAAAAAAAUUAAUUAAAGUACUUAAUUGACUUGUAUUAAAAAUAAAUAUUAAAAUUAUUUUUAUAUUAUAGAAAUUUUUUUUUCACUAUAAUAAAAAAAUUGUUUCAUAAUUAAAAACAAAAUUAUUUUUCUUUAACUAAUAUAUAAUUAUGUAUUUAAUUUUUAUUUUUUAUUAAGACUUAACUUGAAUUUGAUUUUAUAUUAUUAUAAAUUAAUUUUAUAAAAUAAAAGUAAAACAUUGUUUUUAAAAAUAAUACAAAUUCUUUAACCUAAACAGCAUUAUUGUUUUUUGUUUUAAAAAACUUUUUUUUUAAAAAAAAUUAUUAAUUUUUCAAUGUAAGGCUUUAAGAGUUAAAAUACAAAAGUUACUGUCACUUAAUUUUAGGGCUAAGGAGGUCAAAACCUUAACAAUGUAGGAGAUUUAACGGAGGCAAGGAAUUAAACAGAUAUAUUCUUGAGAUUAGAAAUUUGGGUGGAACAUCAAUUUUGUAAAGAAAUUAAGUUUAAGCACACAACAAUUACCUGCCCAUGUGUUGGUGCACUGCCGCUUUCAUUAAAAUAGCACAUCAUCGAUCUCUAUUCUUGGAAUGUGAGAUAUAUAACGCCAUUCUUGCCCAUUCUCAAAUUGGAGUCGUUGUUCCAGUGAAGGACACCAUCUGACAUACAGAGAAGAGAGGGAGUCUGGCAGUCUCUCUUUUGUCAAGUAUUGAAGCUUAGGGCAGUCGAAAAUUCUUAACGUUUCAAGAGUGGUGAGGUGGUGAAGACCCGCUUCUGUCAAGGAUUGGAGCCUUCCGCACGAGUCGAUUCCUAAUUUCUUGAGAGAGAGAAGGCAUUGAAGAACAGAUCCUGUCGAGAAUUGGAGCUCAGGGCAGUACUGGAUCCAUAAUUCUCGAAGAGAGGUGAGUUGUUGAAGCCCCUUGUUGUCAAGAGACUUGAGAUUUGGAAGACUAUAGAUUGAAAGAUAAGUUAGAGAAGAGGGCAGCAGACACUCCUUGGGAAAUAAUUCCACGCCUUCACAUCCACCUUCGAUUGUGAAAUGAGUAAGAGAG